UUAAAAAUACCUCCAGAAACCCUAAAAACCUAAGAAUCAGAGGACCUCCCCUCCUAUUCUCAGCCGCAAGUAAGAAACCCUCUCCUCAUCUCCACCGUUUCGAACUUUACCGAUUUAUUCUUAAAACCUCUGCCCAAACUUCGAUCACGGCGAAGCAAGCAGAGAUCUAACGGUGUGCUUCAAGAAGGUAAAACCUCCCUCUCUUUUCUCUUUUAUUUUUCGCCAAGAAAAGAGAAAAAGGAAAAAAAACUAAAAGAAAACGAAAAAAGAUCCAGAGAAAAUCGAGAAAUCGCCUUUCCUUAUUCAGUUUUUCUGUAUUUCGUAAUGAUUUCUCCCUUUUUAUUCAACAAUAAAUAAAUUUCAAAACAAAGAAGCAGAAACAAUGAACAAUCCAAAGGAGAAAAUCAAAUCUCUGAUCCUUUUGAAACUUUUUCUGGUUUUUGUUUGUAUUCAAUAUCUGUAUCUGUGUAAAAAAAAGGAACCAAAAACCCUUUUACAAAUUCGAAAAUGGCUUUAUACAGCCGAAAAUAAAAUAGAAAUUUAGAGGAAAUUCUUUUCUAAAUUUCUGCUAUUUUUCUCUGCUAUCCUCGCGUAUUUUGCUGCUGUUGCGCCUUUGUUCGGUUUUUCUUGUUUUGUGUUGCGUUGUCUAUUCUUGUUUGUUGCAGGUACGACCUGGAGGAGAAGAAGCACGUACGCGCGGAGGCGUAGCACGCCCGGGAGGGGGCCCUGAUUGCUGCGGCGCUGGAUGCUGCGUUGCUACCCUAGGGUUUCUGAUUCUCUUUGGUGUUGGGCCGUAUGAUUGUUGGGCUAGGUGUAAUUGGGCUAGCUGUAGUUUGGGUUUGUACUGGGCCAUUUGUAAAUGGGCUUGGCUUGUAUUUUGGGUCUGAGUUUGCAUUGGAUUGUUUUUAUUGGACUUUUAAUUUUAUUCUAUACAUGUGCAUUUUUUAUAUUUGAUUUUUAAUACUUGGGUUUGGGCCGGGAAAAAUUUGGGCAUUACAUUACCCAUUUGAUUUUUUUUUUAUUUUCGUCCUCCGACUAUUUAGUCUUUUGGGAACGCUGCGUUUAAGGGACGAGGGGAUUAUUUCUUAAUUGGUCCCUGUCUUUCCUUCGCGUAUUUGGUUUUAAUCCCUUAGCAUAUUUUAUUGUUUAAUUUGUUUAUUUUAUUAUGAUUUUUACUUUAAAUUUUGUUUAGAUCUCGAUUUAGUCCCUUACUUUCAAUAUUUUAUAUUUUAUUUUCCUUUUUAUAAAUUUAUUCAUGUAUUUAUUCAUUUAUCUUUUUAUUUCUUUUUAUUUUUGUGUUAUACUUUUUUUCUUACCAUUAUUAUUAUUAUUAUUAUUAUUAUUAUUAUUAUUAUUAUUUCAUUUAUUUACAUAUUUUACUCCAAAUUGUACCUUUAAAUUUCGUUUAUAUCACUACACCAAAACAGGUUUUUAGCGACCUUUUUUUAGGCCUUUAGCGGCGCUUUUUAGCGCCACUAAAGGAAGCGCCGCAAAAAAUGCCGCUAACGACAACGUCGCUAACGUUUGCAGCGUUUACAGAAAUAAACGCCGCUAAAGGUCAUGUUCUUUAGCGGCGCUUAAAAAAUACGCCGCUAAAGAUCAUGUUCUUUAGCGGCACUUAUAAAAAAACGCCGCUAAAGAUCAUGUUCUUUAGUGGCGCUUCAAAAAAACGCCGCUAAAGGUCACGUUCUUUAGCGGCACUUCAAAAAAAAUGCCGCUAAAGGUCAUGUUCUUUAGCGGCGCUUUUACAACAAAUGCCACUAAAGAACAUGACCUAUAGCGGCGCAUACCAAGAAACGCCGCUAAAGCUCAUGUUCUUUAGCAGCGCUUUCUUGACAAACGCCGCAAUGUAACAUGACUUUUAGCGGCGCUUUUAUAAAAACGCCACUAAUUUUAUGAUUUUUGUAAAAUAAAAUUUUAAUAUAUUAACAAGCUCUCCUGUAGCAACAAAUCAAAAGCAACCAGAUCUAAACCAGCCAAAAACAAUAAAUUUAUAUAAUAUUUCAAAUUAAACGAAUAAAAUAAUAUUAAUAUCAAUAAAUAAAAUAGAAUUCAUAUUAUUUUUACAAAAACGUUAAAAGUUAAAAUGAUAAAAAUAUUUAUGCAAUACACUAUGACGGCGGAAUUUGCGACUGCUGAAACAUCUUCAUCAUACUCUGAAGAUUGUCUUUUGAUUUUCCGUCGACAUUCAAAAUUGUACCCACAAUGUUCUCGCAGACAUUUUUCUCAAUGUGCAUAACAUCAAGAUUGUGUCGUAAAAGGUGAUGCUCCCAAUAAGGCAACUCAAAAAGAACUUUUUUUCCUCAAGUCCACCUCAUUAGGAUCGUCCUCUUCAUCAGAUUCAUCAUCAGCUUCAUCAUUUGAUCUUCUAUUUCUUUGCGUGUUUGGCGUUUGGUUCAUCUUCCCAUAAAUGAAAUUCAUAUCUUCCAACAUGAACAAGAUUUCAGAGCCACUGGUCUACGAAGGAGCUUCUCUAAACUCUUCAGUACCGUCAAAUACAGAACUCUAAAAUCUAAAUCUAUGAUUUUUCGGUAACCACCGACAAUGCCCCAUGUAAGAGAACUUCUUCCCAUUGUACAACCAUUGCGAACAUGUUUGUGCAGCACAACAAUGACACGCAUAACGACCCUUGGUACUCCAACCGGAUAAAUUGGCAUAAGCGGGAAAGUCAUUAAUGGUCCACAUCAAAGCUGCACGUAAAUUAAAGUUCUCCUUUCUCAGCAAAUCGUAUGUCUCGACUCCAGCCCAUAAUUGUUUUAACUCUUCAAUAAGUGGCUGUAAAUAAAUGUCGAUAUCAUUCCCGGGCCCUUUCUCUCCAAGGAUAAUCAUAGAUAAGAUAAGGGAAGAUUGCUUCAUACAAAUUCACGGAGGUAGAUUGUAAGGAACAAGCACUACUGGCCAAGUACUGUACGCAGUGCUCAUGAUCUUGAAAGGAUUAAAUCCAUCAGAUGCUAGCCUAAGCCUCACAAUCCUAGGAUCGCUUGCAAAGCUUGAAAAUUUAUUGUCAAAUGAUUUCCAAGCUAAAGAAUCUGCCGGAUGCGUUAGUAAUCCAUUAUUAGUUCGUCCAUCAUGGUGCCACGUCAUUGACUCCGUUGUCUUUGACGACAUGAAAAGCCUUUGAAGCCUUGGUAUCAGCGGAAAAUACCGUAAAAUCUUCACUGUGCAUCAUUUUCAUCGUCGUUCCCAUCUUCUGUGUUUCUACUUAUCCAACGGGAGUGGCCGCAUACCUGAUAGCACUGUUGGUUUCUCCGAUCGCCCCAAUACAACAUGCAGUCAUUUGGGCAACUAUGGAUUUUGUUGUACCCAAGGCCUAAAUCUUUUAUCAUUUUCUUCAUAUCUUUGCAUGACUGAGGGAUUUUUGCAAACGGAAACAUUUCUCUCAAAAACUCUAACAGCAUUGUCAACGAGUUUCUGGUCCACCCUCCCAAACAUUUUAAUUGAAAAAGACAAACACAGAAUGACAUUUUUGAAAAUUUUGAUCCCUCAUACAGUUCUUCGUUCAUGUCAUUAAGUAGCGCAUAGAACUUCGUUGCUUUUCCAUUCGGCUCUUCAUAACGUACACUACUUCCCGAUUCGGUAAAAGCAUUUCCACCAACAUUACAAUCAUCAGAUGCCACAAAGUCCGCUGGGAACAACUGGACACCAUGAUUGUGCAUAUUAAAUGCAUCCCACAACAUACCUUCCAUGUCAUCCCCUUUAUCAGACUGAUGGUAAGCAGUAUCAGGAUAAGAUACAUCCAUCCUUGAAGAGGAAGUACUAGGCGGGCAUUCUCCAUGAAAUAACCAUUGUUUAUAACCCCGAACAAACCCAUCAACAAUUAGAUGCUCGUAUACAACCUCACGAUAAUGUCAGUUUAUGUUGACACAAUUCUUACAGGGGCAAAGAAUCAUGUUCUCUUGGCUUGCGUAUUGAAAUGCAAAAUUUAGAAACGUCUGUACUCCAUUUCGAUAACCUUUGCUUACCCUUGAUAAAUUCAUCCAAGACUGGUCCAUUUCUUAAUUAUUGAAGUCUGAUUUUCACCAGAAAUUACAACGUUCAGUUCUUCGCUUAUAAGUAUAAAUAGUUAUGUAAGUUAUGAUAUGAUAUAUAUUUUUGUAUUAGGUAAAUUAUGUAAGUUAUGAAAGUAAUGUAUUAUGUAAGUUAUUUUAAGUUAUGUAAUAAGUUCUGUAUUAUAUAUGUAAGUUAUUUAAGUUAUGUAUUAUGAAAUUUUAUCUUAAUAAUAUAUAAGUUAUCUAAACUUAGAAAUUGAUGUAUAAUUAGAAAUUUUAUCUUAAUAUUAUAUAAGUUAUGUAAUGAGAAAUUAAUAUUAUCUAAGUUAUGUUAGUAGAAAUUAAUAUUAUAUAAGUUAUGUAAUUAGAAAUUUUAUCUUAAUAUUAUAUAAGUUAUGUAAGUUUAUGUAUGAUGGCUAUGCAAGUUAUGUAAUGUAUCAAUUUUAUGUACGUAGGUUAUGCAAGUUAUGUAAUGUAUCAAUUUUUAAAAAUAUAAGAUAAAUUAAAUAAAUAUAUAUAAUUAAUAAGUUAAAAUAAAUUUUGAUAAAUAGAUUAUAAUACAUAACCUCACCAUAACAUCACCAUUACAGCCUUACAUAUUAAACAUUUAAGUUAUUUAAGUAAUGUAAGUUAUAAAUUUUAAAAAUAUAUUUAUUAAUAAGUUAAAUUAAAUUUAUUAAUAAGUUAUGUAAUUUAUGUAAACACAAUUGCUAAUUCAUUGACAUUCAAUAAAUUAAUCGAUCAAAUUAUUGUAUGAAAAUGAUUAUUAAACACUAACAUUCAAUCAGUUAAUCGCAUCUAACAUCGAUAGUUUAUUAAUUUAGGAGUAAAUUUGAUAACUCAUUUCUUUGCCAAAAUCGAUAAAUUUUUCACAUUAAACCGAAUAAACUAAUCGCCCAUAAUUUAUUCAAAUACUCAAAAACAUAAAGUGCUUUAAGAAUUGCAAUAAUCCGAAAUUUAGUAAACUUUGUAGAUUGUUUUUGUUUGGGUAAACAGUUCGUGGAGACAUAUCAAAUCAUAAUUUAAACAUCGCAAUAAUGUAAUCAUGUAGCUGCAAAGUUACAUGCACAAAUUAUAAGUAAACAGAUACCCAUAGGUUCAAAACCAAAAAGCUUAAUUAAAACUCCCUUUUAAUACUCAAAAAUAAUAAGUAAACUAUUAAGCUAAAAUAUAUCAAAAUAAAAAAUUUAAACAUUUGGAUGUGUUUUUGUAAGAAAACUAUGUAGGGAAACAUAGGUAUAAAUACCUCAAAUUUCCUCAAAUUCGAAGCAAACUUCUGCAAAAAAUAACAAAACACAACUAACUUAGUACCAAAAAAAAGGAAAAAAUACAACAGAAGUAAACAGAGGAUUAUUUAACUACAUUUAGAUUCAAAUCAAUAAUUAUCACAACAAUCAACUUAAUAUGAAUUGAUAAAGUAACACUCAAUAAUUGAAUUGUACGAUUCAAUCAACUGAAGUGAAGAAAUCAGAAGUUGUUCCAAGGUUAAUGUCUCAACUCUCGAGUAACUAACAAACACAUAAAAUUGCCAAUUUCCUAUUAACACUGCAAGUAAUAUUUUAUCUACAAAAACUAAUUUCUUCAAAAAUAUUAACACUGCAAGUAACUAACAAACAAAUACAUAUUCAAUUUAAGUUCAAAAAUAAUUUCUUCGACUCCUUCAAUCAACUAUUUUAUCUGCAAGUAAUAGCUAUAAUAAAAUAUAUUUAUUAAGAAGUAUUUCGAAGAUCACCAUUCUAAAAACUUAUAAUUGAUUUCAACUAUUUGACUCAAGUCAGUCGCUAAUCGUUCAAUCGGAUCGGAUUGGGGUUUUAGGAAGCAAAUGAAAAUGCAACAACAAGGCAUCAAGGCAACACAGAAACAAACCCUAAAAAUUUAUUUCAAUUUUAUCUAAUGCUUCAGUACAUUGUUGAAGUAGUUUAAUCGAAACCCUAAACCCUAAAUAGCUAGGACUGAAACAAAACCCUAAAAAUUCCACGACAAAUACCAAAAAUGGCUUACCUAUUUAAUCGACAAAUCUCGCAGCUUUGCCCACCUUGUUUGAAGAUCGACUCCAACCUAUUUUUUUCCUUCGUAUUUUUCUUUGAAAUUUUCUUCCCUUUCGACACUUCUUUCUCUGCUAACCUCUCUUCAAUUUCCCUCUUUCUGAAUUUGGAGGACGGCACUAGAGAAUUAAUUUAAUGUCCUCUUAAGAAAUGGCACCGUUUAACGUAAUUUUAAGUCAGAGUUGCGGCGUUUUGAGAACAAACGCUGUUACUACAUCGACAUUUGCGGCGUUUUAAUUAAAAACACCACUAAAAUUUCAAGUACAGAAAGAAACGGCGUCGUUUUAUAAAAAUAUAAGGAAACAUUCUGGCAUUUUCCCAAACACACCACAAUUAAUAUAUUAUCUAACCGGCGUCGUUUUCAAUAAAUUUUAUACAUCCUUGCGGCAUUUUUAAUAAAAAGCCACUAAAAGAUUCCAUCCUUCAACUGAAACGGCGCCGUUUUUGCAAAGUUCAAAUAUUAUUUACGGCACUUUUCGGAAAAAAGCCACAACUAAAAUUUAUUCCCUAAGCCGAAACGACGCCGUAUCGGUAAAUGCAAUAAAUAUUUGUGGCAUUUUUAUCAAAACACCGGUAAUGUCUACCUUUUGCGGCGUUUUAAUUAAAAACGCCACUAAAAUUUCAAGUACAGAAAGAAACGGCGCCGUUUUAUAAAAAUAUAAGGCAACAUUCUGGCAUUUUCCCAAAAACGCCACAAUUAAUAUAUUAUCGAACCGACGCCGUUUUCAGAAAAUUUUAUACAUCAUUGCGGCGUUUAUAAUAAAACGCCACUAAAAUAUUCCAUCCUUCAACUGAAACGGCGCCGUUUUGGCAAAGUUUAAAUAUUAUUUACGGCGCUUUUCAAAAAAACACGACAACUAAAACUUAUUCCCUAAGUCGAAACGACGUCGUAUCGGUAAAUGCAAUAAAUUUUUGUGGCAUUUUUUAUCAAAACGCCGCUAAAUCUUACAUAUUUUAUUUAUUUAUUGUAUCAUUCAUUUAAAUAAUUAAUUACCUAUCUAUUUAAAUAAUUAAUUACCUAAAAAUUAAUUUAAAUAAUUAAUUACCUAUUUAUUUAUUUGUUUAUUUAUUUUUUCUUAUAUUUUGGUCCUAUAUAUACAAAUUAAAUAAUUAAUUAACUAUAUAUAUUAUAUGAUUCGUAUCAAAAAUAUCAAAUGGUACUUAGGGUUAAAUGUUUUUAAAUAUACAAGUAUUAAUUAAUUGUAUAUCAUUUAACAAAUCUCAAAUUAUAAACCUUAAACCCUAAAUUAACCAAUCAAUCUACAUGCAUAAAGUGAUCAGUUAUCUAUUAUAUAUCUCUUAAAUAAUAUAAACUAUACUCAAAAUUUCAAUAUAUUAAAUUUAUUAUUAUCUAUUUUACAAAUAUAUAAGAACAUAUUUACCAUAAAAAUUAAUCAAACUAAUUAAUCUAAACUUAAACCCUAACAUGAAUGUUGAAACCCUAAACCUCAAAUCCCUAACCCCUAAACCCGAUCUUGAAUCCCUAACCCAUAACCCCUAACCCAUAACCCCUAAACCUUAUUUAAUAUAUACUUAAAACACACUAAUUAAUCUAAACCCUAAACUCUAACUUGACACUGAAUCCCUAAACCUUAAAUUCCUAACUCUUAACAUCUAACCCCUAACCCUUAACCCAUAAACCUUAAAUCACAUUAACCAUUAAAUCAGAAUCCCUAAUCCACAAUCCUUAAUUCCAUAAUCUAUAAAACUUAAAAUUGUAACUCCUAAACUGGUCUUAAAUCCUAAAUUAACCAUAUAUAUACCCUAAACCAUAUUUAUUAAACCCUAAACUAUAAUGAUAAUUAAAUUAAAUAUUUGAAAAUUAAUAUAUCUUAUCUCUUACAAUUAUAUUUGAAAUUAUUUAGUAUAUAAAUUAAAAAUCAAUCAGUCAUGUACCCAAAAAAUUUUAAAAUUAUGGCUUAAUAAUAGUAUUUUAAUUUUUCUAUUUUUAACAAAUAUUUUUCUAUGUUUUUUAUUUCAAUUUAUUUAUACGUGUCAUUAUUUCAAAUUAAUCCAUUUUUAACAAAUAUUCAUUUAAAAUUAAAUUGAAUUUUAAUUAAUAUAAAUAAACAAAUUAAAUAGUAAUUAAUUCAAUAUUUUAAAAUUAAUACUAUCUCUUUUAUGAUUAUAUAAGAAAUUAUUUAAUAUAUAAACUAAAAAAAUCAGUAAUGUAUCCAAAAAACUUUAAAAUUAUUUUAAAUAAUAGUAUUUUAAUUUUUCUAUUUUUAACAAAUAUUUUAAAUUAUUUUAAAUCCCUAAGCAUUAGCGGCACAUCUUCAAAAACGCCACUAAACAUUAGCGGCGCUUUAUUAAAAACGCCACUAAAUCCACGAAAGCUAAGAAAACGGCGUUGUUGGGCUUAGGUUUCUUUGCGGCGCUUUCCCAAAAACGCCGCUAAAAACCUGAGCAUUAGCUGUGCUUACAUAAAAACGCCGCUAAAUCCCCGAAAGCUCAGAAAACGGCGUCGUUGGGCUUAGGUUUUUUUGUGGCGCUUUAUCAAAAACGCAGCUAAAGCCCUGAGCGUUGGCGGCGCUUAAUUAAAAACACUGCUAAAUCCCCGAAAGCUCAAAAAAUGGCGUCGUUGGGCUUAGGUUUUUUUGUGGCACUUUAGCAAAAACGCCGCUAAAGCCCUAGGCAUUAGCGGCGCUUCCCUAAAAACGCUGGUAAAUCCCCGAAAGCUAAGAAAACGGCGUCGUUGGGAUUAGGUUUUUUGUGGCGCUUUAUCAAAAACGCCACUAAAUCCCCAUAAGCUAAGAAAAUGGCGUCGUUGGGCUUAGGUUUUUUUGUGGCGCUUUCAAAAAAUCGUCGCUAAAGCCCUAGGCAUUAGCGGCGCUUCCCUAAAAACGCCGCUAAAUCCCCGAAAGCUCAGAAAACGACGCCAUUGGGCUUAGGUUUUUUUGUGGCGCUUUCACAAAAAUGCUACUAAAGCCCUGAGCAUUAGCAGCGCUUCCUUAAAAACGCCACUAAAUCCCCCGAAAGCUCAGAAAACGGCGUCGUUGGGCUUAGGUAUUUGGCAACGCUUUCUGGAAAACGCCGCUAAUGCUUAGUUUCAGCGGCGUUUUCUAUGAGGCGCCGCUAAUAAUCGAUCUUUAGCGGCGUUUUUUAUCCAACCGCCGCUAAAAAUGCCGCUAAAAACCUGUUUUGGUGUAGUGUAUUUUGAUACGGUUCUUUACUUUCAAUACUUUUAUAAACUAUUUUCGCUUACAUUAUUUAUGUAUUUAUUUUAUUUGUUUGUUUAUUUAAGUUGGUAUUGUCCUUUUAUAUGCAUGCUUUGGUAUUAUUACCAUUGUUAUUAUUUAUUUUAUUUAUAUUUAGAUUGUUCUUAUUAAUGUUGAAAUAGUGUGCAUUAUUUGAUUCUCGAAAAUUGUCUUUAUUAUUGUCUUUAUUAUUGUCAUUUUAUUAAUGCAACAUUUCAUUCAUGUAUUAUUUUAAAAUAUUACACAUUUUUUUACCCAAUUUUGUAAAAAACAUAAAUUUUUUUAUUUCGUAUUUUGGAAUUCGAAAAGUCGUUCCCUAACUUACGGGGUUUCGAUUUUCUCGAUAGACCCGAAUAACAAACCCCUUUUAAAAAUCUUAAAAAAUUAUUAUCUCGGGAAUAAAAAGAUCGUGUUCUAACUUACGGAAUAUGAUUUCUUUUCUAAAACCGUGAUAAUCAAAUAUUUUUAAAAAUAAACAAAACUUUCGGUACUUAUUCUCUAUUCGGGAUUUAAGAUAUUGUAUCCUAACUCACGGGAUAUAAUUAUUUUUCUCGACUGACGUGAAACACGCCCUUUUCUAAAUUUUUAAAUGAUUUUAACAAAAUGGUCAUAUUUUAAAUCUCGUCAAAAUUUUCAAUUUUCGACAUUAAGAAAUUAAUCAAUUAAUUAGGUACCAAUUUUGGAUGUUACGAGGGUGCUAAUCAUUCCUCAUACGUAACCGACUUCCAAACCUGUUUUUUUGAAUUUCGUAGACCAAAAUUGUUUUAAUAAAUUAAAUUGUUAUGAGGUGACCCGAAAACACCUCAUAAAAAUGAUCAGUGGCGACUCCAAUCUUCAUUUUCGUUUUCAAAAAUAAAAGUCGACCCCUUUUUCAAAAACAAUGGUUUUGACAGCUUGGCGACUCCACUGGGGAAAAAAUAAAAGAGUCAAGCCACAAAUUGAUUUUUUUUUUGUCUUUUUGUCAAAAAUUGAUAAUUUGGUUUAAAUUUAUGAUCCUUUCAUUGCAUUUCAUUUUUGUGAUUUUCAUCAUUUGGAUAUGUCUUAUUUUUGGUUCGAGUCUCUUAGUAUACUUUUGCACAUUGCAUUACAUGACCGUUCGAUUAUACCCUUUUAAGUGGGAGUGAGAAACUAUUCUUUCGUGAGGUCUUCACCUCCGUGCAGGAUAGUGGAUCACUUUCGAGAUACAUCCGUACCUAUGUCUUCGUGAUAUUUUCAUCUCCGUGCAGCCAUAGUGAAAUGUAUUCCCAUGAACUGAACUCGGUCUAUAUGAGCCUAUAAUGACUGAGGAUCGAGGAAUCUGCUGGUUCAGGUCCCUUUGCUUCGAAACCAAACCACAUAUAAUGAGCCCUAAGAGCCUACCCUAAGUAGAACCACGACAAACCCCUAGUGGUCAUCCAAAUAGGUACUCUUUUUAUUAUUUAUGUACUGACGUGUUUUCUUUUGUUUUGGUUAUGAUCGCAUUGCAUUUUAAUAAUAGAAAAAAGGUGUUGAUUCACAUUCAGUUGUUAAAUAGAGAGCUUGUCAUGAAAAAUGGAUUUCUUGAUAAAGUGGAAGACAAUGCGGUCGUCCGAAUAUAGUCCUAGAAAAUAUAACAAGAAAAGGGUAAUAGUCUAAAAAAUGAGUACACGACUUUGCUUCGUCACCCGAGGAUUCAAGCUGACAAAGAUUAUUCGAGAGCCGCCAACGUUCCAACUUCCUUAAGAAGCUAACGAGCAUCACGAGGAUGAGUUAACAAUGGGUCGCGGCUUGGAUCAAGCAAAAAGGAGAUAAACGAGGCACCCUUUUGAAGAGUUCGCGAGAUUCGAUCUUAACAUACAGAUAUGAGGAAAAUGAUUGAUGUCUUCACUCUGAGUAUUAGGGCAAUGUCGUAUAUGUAAAUAUCCAUUUUAUGUAAAGAGAUUUGUUUUGUAGUAAAGUUGUUCUAAUAGAAUUGAAUCAGAAUCAAUACCUCUUUUUUACAUUCAUUUCAUUCAUGUAUUAACAUUGCAUUGCAUCAUAUGCAUUAAAUCUCACAAACGAACCCUAAAAUCUUGGCAGUUAUUCUAGAACAUUGAUACACGAGGAAAAACUAAAGAAAUGGACCAAAGGUUAGAGAGAUUAAUGCAAAUGCAAAUACUAAUGCAAGAGCAAUUGGCCAAAAUUUGGGUAGAAAAGUAAUGUUACGCUUUGAGUAAAGUCAAGUUCAGUCAAAUAACAUGCUUUAUUUUAUUUAAACUCGACCCACGACUAAAUCUAACGUUUCAAGAUUAGAGUGAAAUGGUUGAAUGUAUAUGUGAGCAAAAUUCGAUUCGACUCGAAAAACUCGAUAAAAAAAUUAAAAUUUUCAGUAAAACAUUUCAAGUUAAUCAAGUUAUUCAGAUAAACUCGAAUAAAAAUAUCAAAUUUUUUGGUUUAACUCGAAUGUGAAUUAUACAAUUCAAAUUAUCCGAAAAUCCGACUAAGAAAAUGCAAAACUACGUCGUUUUGAUAAAUAUUUAUAUUUUCUAAGUUAAAAGUCAAAACCUUUAAGUUAAAAGGCAAAACUAUUUCGUUUUGAUAAAUGUUCACCUAUUAAGUUAAAAGCAAAAUCAUUAUAUUGUUUAUGUAGUUAAAUAAUCCUAUACUUUGUCUACUAGUUAAACAAUUGGUCCUUAUAAACACAACAUUGAGCAUAAAUAAUAAGAUUUGCUAACUCGACUCGACUUAACUCGAAAUUUUUUGACUCGACUCGACUCAAGACUCACCUCUUGUUGAAUGAACUCUAAUAAAAUGCAAUAGAAGUUUAUGCCUAAUAAAACUAAAAUUGUUAGUUUGGUAUCCUAUAGACUCCAAUUGAAAUUGCUUUUAAAAGAACAUGUUUUAAAAUUGUUGAAGCACUUGCAAGAGCAACAGCACCAAGUAUUUACAAUUAUGUUGAUAAUUGCCCAAGGUUUUAUAAUUUGUCGUAUUUGAAGUUAGCAAUUUUUUGAAACAAUAUAGCUGGGACAUGAAUUAGUUGGUAUUAUGGACAUGUAUUAGUCCAUAUUUGAAGAUUGAUAUUAUAAAACAACAAGUUUUUAAUGAUCGGAUUUAUUUAAAUCAAGCAAAUUGGAUCUACAGUUUCAUGGAGAUUGAUUUGAAUUGCUUCAAAACAUAUCUUAGAUAUUUUUUAUUUAAAUCAACCAAAUAAUAUUUUUAUAAAAGUCAAUUAAAUCAAAUAAUUAAUAAUAUUUUUAUAAAAGUUAAUUAAAUCAAAUAAUUAAUCCAUAUGCAAUUAAAUUAAUAUGUGAAGUCACUAAAUUAAAAAAUGGAUAACGACUACUUACCCAUUUGAAGUUGUGAGAAGACCAUUGCAAUUGAGUUCCAACACACUAGGCGGGCUAAUUCCUAGAUUGCUACAACUGAGUGGAUAUAAAGCUUUAAUAAAAUCCUCAAAUUUGUUUAUAAAAAAUUUAAUGGUUUUCUAAUUGUGACAUGGGAAGCAACACCAGAACAUAGGGAGUUCAUCUCACAUUUAUGUUUCUAUUCUGUUCUAAAGUUUUAAUGAGUGUGAUUAAGGGUAAGAAAUGGUAGUUGCCUCCGGCUAUCAGACUCAUUGAGCUAAAUACUACAUAUGAUGGUGAUGGGUAGAGGUGCUCAUGGGCUGGGCCAGGCCCAAAAAAAUUCAGCCGCUUCCUAAGACCAAGCCUGGCCAGGCCCGAAAUAUGAGCUUAAAAUUUUGUCGAGGCUCGGGCCCGACCCGGCCAGGCCUUCUUUUUUUUACUUACUUAAAACUAAUUGUUAUUAAAAUUAUAUCAAAUAUAAAAUUAUAUUUUUUUUUGUAUUUAAUGAACAAAAAAAUAAAAUAAGAUUACUUAUUUUUAACAUUUUCAAAUUGACAUUUAAACAUAAAAUAAUAAUCUAUGAAUAUGGGGCGCGUUUAAAAAAUUACCAACUAAUUGAAUUUAAAUGUUAUUUAAUCAAUUCUUUAAAGAAGAGAAUAAAAAUAAAAAAUGAUUAUACAAGUAAUUACAAACAAUUAACUCGAAUUUAAUUACUUUUAACUUUUUAACUUAAAUAUUUUAAAGUUUAUCAUAUCAUUACAUUUUUAUGCUUUUAAAGGAUAAAAAUAUCAAAAUUGAUCCAUAUUUGUGAGCCCCUACUAUAUAAUAUACACAGUUUGGUGGAUUUCUUUUUAGACAAUCAUAUUUCUGUUAGGUUCUAUAAAAAUGCCAUCCCUCAUGCUUACACUCAAGUUCAGUUAUGUUGAGUUAAAAUAAUAAUAAUUUUAUUGAUUCGACUCUCAAACUUGUAACUUUAGACACCAAACGCAUAGAAAACCUUAACUUAAAUCAGCAAAAAGAAAUAGACCCAAACCUUAACAUUCCAUACUCAUUAAAUGCAACGAUCAAAAUAUAAAAAAACAACCCAUACCCGUCUUUCAAACCUCCCCCUCCAUUUUUCAAAAUAAGAAAAUCUCUGUUCUUCUGCCUCAAUAGUCAAUAGCUUGUUUCUACAAUAAAACAAAUCAUAUUACUACACUUUAAUAGUUUUGGAUGAAAUAUGAUAAAAAUAAUUAAUUUCAUAUAACCUAAUAACCCAAUAAAAUAUGUGGCUAUAUUUUUCGAAAUAUAGCCUAUAAACCUUGAAACAAAUCUGUAAACAAUACUUUCAUGCCUAUAAAAUAUGUAAACCCAUUUAAUUUCUUGCAUAUGGAAAAAAGAGGGUAUACCUUUAACUCCACAUUUUGCAUCAUCAAAACCAUUUCUUGCAUGAAGUUAAGAAACCCUGUUAUAUAAUUCAUAUCAGUACCGUAUAGAUUAAUAUCACAUAUGGGAUUUUUCUAAUAAAAAAUAACAGAUGCCUCACUUCAUCAUCAUCGUCUGCAAGUAGACCCAACAACCCAGCGUCAUAAAUCUUUCUCUUUCCUUUAUCCGACAAAACUGCAUAAUUAUAACAAAAACUCUCCUUUAAUUAAGUUUAUCUCUGUGAUUAUCUAUUUAAUAAACAAACAUUAAAAAAAGAACACAAAUAACCCACCUGAAUAAGCCUCUUGAAUCUGUUGAAAUCGUUUCUUAGCUUCACCUGAUACAUUGGGGUUUUUCAUCCAUCUAUCAGGAUGCCAUUUCUUUCAAAAUCACAUGCACAAAUUACAAAAUGAAAGAGAACCCAUUAGUUUACAUUAAUCAAGGAGUCAAGAAAAGUUGACAUAAUUAUAAAGUAUAUAUAUACGAAAGCCUGUUUACGAUAAGCUUCACGAAUUUCAGAAGGGGAAGCUUGUUCACAAAUUCCAAGCACUGAAUAAUAACAAGUUCCAGAUUUCGACAUUUUUCACCACCACCACCACAACAAACAGCAAUGAAGCUGUUUGGAUUUUAUAAAAUGUGGAGUCAAAGGUAUACCCUCUUUUUUCCAUAACCUAUAAACCUUGAAACAAAUCUGUAAACCCAGUUACAAACACAUCAUUGGCUAAGGCUUAUAUAUACAGUAAAGAUUAAAGAAAGAAAAAUAUAAAGAAAACUAACUAAAUGUCUAAUGAGAAUUUAACCGAAUAAACUAGGGGUGCGUUUGGUUCGCUGUAUUGGAUUAGAGGUGUAUUGGAUUAGAGGUGUAAUAACAAAUCAACUGUUUGGUUGAAUGUAAUGGAAUAGAGGCGUAAUAGUAAUCUUGUGUUUGGUUGAAUGGAAUAGAGGUAUAAUAGCAUAAUGAAAAAAACAAAAAUGACUAGAAUACCCUUAGCAUAAAUUUGUUUUGGUAAAUGAUUAUUGUUAUUGUUAUUUAAAUUUUAAUAAGAUUAUUAUUAUCAAUAAUAAAUAUUUUAAUCAUAUUUAAACAUAAUUAUUAUUAAAUAUAUUUUAAUUAAAAUAUAUAAUUUAAUAAAAUUCUUAAUAAUUAGCAGAAAUUCGUUUUGGUAAAUUAUUAUUGUUAUUGUUAUUUAAAUUUUAAUAAGAUUAUUAAUAUCAAUAAUAAAUAAUUUAAUCAUAUUUAAACAAAAUUAUUAUUAAAUAUAUUUUAAUUAAAAUAUAUAAUUUAAUAAAAUUCUUAAUAAUUAAUAUUCUUAUAUGAAUUGACUCAAAUCAUAAUAUAUGAAUUGGACCAAGCAAACAUACAUUGUAUGGCUCAAAAGUAGAAGACAAGAAUUUUAUUUAUUUAUUUUUUAAUUUGGAAAAUAAAUUUUUGUUUACUAAUUUGACUGUUUUUUAAAAAAAGUAAAAUUUAUAAACCAAGAAAUAUAUCAUUUCUUAAAAAUUUUGAAAUUCAUAUCGUAAUUUGUUAUUAUUGUAACUUUCAGAAAUAAUAAAUUGGAGAUCUGGUUGACAUAACUUUGACUUCUUAUAAAGCAUUCAAGGAUGACUUUUUUUGGGUUUGAGAGAUCAAAUUAUUUGUUUGAUUUAAAGAAAUGCAAUGCCUAAAACAUUAUAUUCAGUGUUGGAUUCAAUUUUUAUUUAAUUAAAAAAAAAACUUGGGAAAUGAGUUUAGCUAGCUUAAGCUAUUCCAUGGCUGCUUAUGAAUCUUCUAUAUGCUAAAGCUUAUAGAUUUGUACCAUGCCAUAAACAGCUCAUGGUUUUGCUCUUCAGAAUUGGAGACAAAUGUGUCCUUUUUAAACUUUAAUUGAUUUUUUAAGUUAUACAUUAUAAUAAAUGGUAAGGCUUCUAGGAUUGAAUUUCUUUGACUGGACUACCACAAAGAUAUACAUACAUUACAUGGUACUAUUACAAACAGGGUGGGGAGAGAAAGAGGAACCAUUACUCUCUUUUUUUUUUUUUGUAGAAAUCAUUGCCCCACACACCACUAGUAGACAAUUCCCAUUAUCUGAUCCCAUAAAUUGGGCAUCAGAAUGAACACCCAAACGAUGAGGCUCAAAGGAACCAAUACUAGAAUAUGAGUUAUUCAUUCUAUGUUUAACAUUCAAGAAUUAAGUCAACCUGAAUCGGAGCAAAAAGAAUUACAGCUUCUCCACAGGAAAACCGGUAACAGGACUUAUCUCCGAUGCCAGUGACCGUAGCUCAUCCACUUCUUCGUUGCUUAGUCUCUAGCCAAGGGCACCUACAAAUUCCUUAGCUUGUGCAGCAUUUUUGGCUCCUAGGAUUGGCACAACAUUCUCCUGUGCUAUUAACUGUAGAAAUCAGAGUAUUUGAUACUAAAUAGAACAUAAAUCAGAGUUUUUAUAUACAACCUAUGACACUACUUUAGGAAACUCUAAGUUAGGAAAGAUACUAAAUAGGAGAUAUGAUCCCUUAAAAUAAGGGAUUUUAAUAAAGAAAAUAUCUACAAAAUAUUCCUAAAAUAUUUACAGAAUAUUCCUACACUCCUCCUCAAGCUGGAGAAUAUACAUUGUAUAAUCCCAGCUUGAAUAGGAAUUUAUUGAACACAGGUUUUGGCAAAGCCUUGGUAAGAAUGUCUGCAAUCUGUCCUUCUGAAGGAAUGUCUUUUUGUUGACUUGAUCAGCAAUAAAAUGCCUAUCAAUUUCAACAUGCUUUGUUCGGUCAUGUUGAACUGGGUUCUUGGCAAUCUGAAUGGCAGAUUGAUUAUCACACAAAACUUCAAAGUGAUCCUCCUGAUUUGUGCCAAGUUCUUUUAGUAAUUUAAGUAGCCAAAUUCCUUCGCAUAUCCCCAAAGCUAGUGCUCUAAAUUCAGCUUCAGCACUACUUCUUGAAACAACAGAUUGUUUCUUACUUCUCCAAGUUGUAAGGUUACCCCAAACAAAAGUGCAGUGCCCACUAGUGGAUCUUCUUUCAGUGAGAUCUCCAGCCCAACUAGAGUUUGUAAAAAUCUUAACAGUUCUGUCUCGUGUCUUCUUAAACAUUAAGCCGUGUCCUGGAGUUUUCUUCAAGUACUUGAGAAUUCUAUUUGCUGCUGCCAUAUGCUCUUCAGUAGGAUUAGUCAUGUGUUGACUUAUCACAUUUACGGGAAAAGCUAUAUCUGGCCUUGUCAAGGAUAAGUAGAUUAGUUUCCCAACUAACCUUUGAAAUUUCUCUCUGUCUACUAAGGACUCAUCUUUUUUAUUGAAUCUCAAGUUUGCCUCCAUUGGUGUAUCAGCCGGCUUACAGCCAAGAAAACCAGUUUCUUUGAGUAAAUCAAGUACAUACUUUCUCUGGUUGAUCACAAGUCCUUUUGAUCUUGCCACCUCCAUUCCUAGGAAAUACCUUAGCUUUCCCAAGUCCUUGGUUUCGAAUUCCCUGUUUAACAACUUCUUCAAAUUACUAAUCUCUUCCUCAUCAUCUCCAGUAAGAAUGAUGUCAUCCACAUACACAAUUAGGAUAGCUUUCUUAUUUGUAGAAGUUACCUUGAUGAAAAGCGUAUGAUCGGCAAGGGACUGCUUGUAGCCAUUUUGAAGAAUGACUUUAGUGAACCUCUCAAACCAAGCUCUGGGUGAUUGUUUUAACCCGUAUAGAGACUUGUUGAGCUUGCAAACCUUGUUGCUACCUUCAAUAGACUUUGAGCCAGGUGGCAAUUGCAUAUAGACUUCUUCCUCAAGCUUGCCAUUAAGAAAUGCGUUUUUUACAUCAAGUUGGUGUAAUUUCCAAUCGCAAUUUACAGCCAAACUUAGGAGUACUCGAAUAGUGUUAAGCUUUGCCACAGGUGCAAAAGUUUCUGUGAAGUCUAUCCCAUAUGUUUGCGUGAAACCUCUGGCCACUAGUCUAGCUUUGUAUCGUUGGAUACUGCCAUUGGAGUUAUACUUUACAGCAAAGAUCCAUUUACAGCCGACAGCCUUUUUUCCUUGAGGAAGGUCUGUAAUGGUCCAAGUAGCAUUUUUCUCUCGUGCACAAAUUUCCUCUUCAACAGCCCUUCUCCAUUUUGGAUCCUUUAGAGCUUCAGCUAUGCUUGUGGGAACCUGUUCUUUAUCCAAAGUUGUUGUAAAUGCUUGAAAAGACGGCAUCAAUGAAUUAUAACCAGUAAAUUUUUCAAUAGGAUGCUUGGUGCACUGUCUAACCCCUUUUCUAAUAGCAAUAGGAAAGUCAUCUAGAGUAGUGGACUUACUGAUUUCUUCUUCCAUUUCGGCAGCUGGACCCAAAUCCAAUUCUCGGCAAGAAUCAGAUUGCAAAACAGUCUCAGGGAUAUGUCUUCUUUUUCUUGUGUAGACACGAAGCUGUUUGGGUGAUGGUGUUUUUUGAAGACUGUCAAUUGGAGUAGGUGUAUUUUCAGGAAGAGUGUUUAAAGUGGGUGUAGGUGAAUUAGUCAUAGGUACUACAGGAGAAUCAAUGGGAGCAUUCACAGGUGACAGAUCUGCAGGUAAUGGCGAACAAGAUGGCAAUUCUGAAGGUUGAGAAUGAAAAUUAGAAGGAGAUACCUGUUGUGGCUGAAAAUUACUCCAUGUUUCCCCCUGAAUUUCAGCCUGAGUGAAAUAGGAAUCCUGCUCAUAAAAUGUUAUAUUCAUAGUGGUGAAAAAUCGUUUAGAAGGAGGAUGAUAGCAUUUAUAACCCUUCUUAAGUGAAGAAUACCCAACCAAUACACAUUUUAAAGACUUAGGAUCUAACUUGGACUUAUUAGGAGCAAUAUUUUGGAUAAAAACAGUGCAGCCAAAAAUUUUAAGUGGCAGAAUGGACGAGAUAGGCUUAAAAUGAGGAAAGUGCUGCAAAAAUAUAGAUUAAGGCGUUUGAAAUUUUAAAACCUUACUAGGCAUCCGGUUGAUUAAAUAUGUGGCAGUUAAUAAGGCUUCCCCCCACAAAUAUUUAGGAACAUUAGUGGUAAAUAGAAGAGAACGAGUAAUUUCAAGAAGGUGCCUAUUUUUUCUUUCGGCAACGCCGUUUUGCUGUGGGGUUCCAACACAAGAACUAAUCUGAACUAUGCCCUUUUCCUUAAAAAAAUCACCUAAAGACCUAGCAAAAAAUUCACUGCCAUUAUCAGAUUUAAAGAGCUAGAUUUUAGACCCAAAUUGAGUGAGAACCAUGUUAUAAAAUUGCACAAAAACACUAGCAGUUUCAGAUUUAUCUUUCAGCAAAUAAGUCCAAGUUAUCCUACUGUGAUCAUCAAUAAAAGUGAUAAACCACUUACAAUUAUCAGCAUUCUUCACCCGAGAAGGGCCCCAAAUAUCACUAUGGAUCAAAGCAAAAGGGUAAGAAGGCUUGUAUGUAGAAGGAAAAUAAGAUGAUUUAGUAUGUUUGGCAAGAGAGCAAACUUUGCAAGAAAAAGAAUUAGGCCUUUUAUUAAUGAAUAGAGCAGGAAACAAUUUUGCAAGGUAUUGGAAACUAGGAUGGCCUAAACGAAAGUGCCAUAACAUAACAGUAUCAACUUUUCCUAAAGCGGUAAAUGACUUGGAGAUCUCGAUUUUAGGAGAGGUAGGGAGGAUGUAGAGACCAUUAUGCAAGCUGGCCUUACCAAUCAUCUUCUUCGAGUUCAGUGCCUGCAAAGUACAAUCACGAUCAUUAAAAAUUACAGAGCAGUGCAAGUCUGUGGACAAUUUACUAACAAAGAUGAGAUUGCACGCCAGAUUUGGUACAAAGAGAACAUUUUUAAGUGCAAUCUGUUCAUUGAGAAUAACAGUGCCAUGUCCCUCUAUUUUGCACAAGGUACCAUCAGCCGUUUUGACAGCUUUACCAAAGGUAUGGAAAAAAUUGUGAAACAAUGCCUUGUUACCAGUCAUAUGAUCCGUAGCACCAGAAUCGAGGAUCCAAUUAGGAGUCAACUGGGAGGAGAAAAAUGCAAUAGAAGAAAGGUUACCAGAUUACCUUCACAAGACCCUUCAAGAAAAUUGUUGCCAUUCAAUCGAUGGCAGGUGAUAGUCAGACCAGACGAAUCUGAAGGAGCAUCGGAACCAGAAAAAUUUUCUGGAUUUGAAGUAAUCUCCGAAGUAGGAGAAGGAGUUUCGGACAUGGUCUAGGUUGAAAAAAAAAUCGUAACCUAAGCUGAUACCAUGUAGAAAUCAGAGUAUUUGAUACUAAAUAGAACAUAAAUCAGAGUUUUUAUAUACAACCUAUGACACUACUUUAGGAAACUCUAAGUUAGGAAAGAUACUAAAUAGGAGAUAUGAUCCCUUAAAAUAAGGGAUUUUAAUAAAGAAAAUAUCUACAAAAUAUUCCUAAAAUAUUUACAGAAUAUUCCUACAUUAACCAGUUGAGCACCACCUGUAGUAAAAAAAGCUCAUUUCAUAAAAGAUCUCAGCACAUUUUAAAAUACCCCAUCGAGUAGUUGCAACUCGAGAUGAAAAAGUAUGAGAAGAAAACAGCCUGUUUCCACCUAUUUGUGACAACUUCCAGAUGUGUAUCUAAAAGUUACAGGGGAGAUGAUACAUAGAUACCAAAUUAGGAUAAUGCCAUCAAAGAGGACUUAAAGCACUUGCGAAGCUUUGUGGUUUUUUCUCAUCUCAUUGUGAUCUUAGUGCAUGACUGCAUAUGUUGUUUGGUCGAGGAAUGGGUCAUGGAAAUCAAAUAUACUUUAAAGAAGACAACUUCUGUACCAAUUAUUUCACCAACUUGAGCCAAGAUUUUCCCAGCUAGUGUAGGCCAUGAUUAUGAGGUUGUUGUAGACGGACUAGUGUCCAUGGUUGUAAUUAAGCUGAGUCACAUAUUGUGCAAUGAAAAGAAAACGCCAUCCAAGCCUAAUGCCUAAAGAUGUUGGGUGUCCAAUGGGCAGCACAUGAAAUAUCGAGUUUCUAAUGCACUUGUCUUUUUGCUAAGUGCUAUUAAUAUGACCAUAAUAUUGAAGCAACAGAUCUAUCAACAGAUUUAAGCAUAUAUAUAUAUACAAGCAAAAGAACAAGAACAAACCUGUGUUGGAGUUUUCCCAUAGUUCCCUCCUAUUUCCUUAAUUCUGAUAAGGAGAGGUUGGAGCUGUAUAUUUAAAAAGACCUUAGCAAUCAAGUCUGAAAUUAAAAUUGGGAUACGAAAUACUCAAGAGACAUACCUUAGUUAAAAACUCCGGAGUGUAAAUCCGGCCUCUAGGUCCAGAUGGCGGAUUUUCUGGUUUAUAUUUCCCGAUAAGGGCACUUGAAACAAAGAUAUGGCACCCUACUCGUGUUAAAAAGAAUAUAUAUGCCAGACUCAGUUUAUGCAUUUGACAUUAGUUCUUGUUUCCAAACUCUGAUUAUUUGACUUUGUGUACUACAUUCCACCUUCGGUGAGAUUUUAAAGUAACACCAUUGUCCUCAAUGAAAUUCAAGACACAUACCUUCCCAGUAGAGUUUCAGAAUUUUCAGCACCUAAGGCAAGCUGUGAAAAAGGAAUCAUCAACGAUAUUCUUCCAUAAAUAAAGUAAAUAAAUUGAUUUAUAGAUGAUCUCGUGUUUUACCGGAGAGCCAUAAACUUCAGCUGUAUCGAAAAACGUAAUUCCGCAAUCAAGACUUCCAUUGAAAGCAGCCUUAGCAGCCUUCAAUUUCUGAUCUGCUUCCACAGCAAGUACAAAUCAAUCAGAUAUGCAGAAAGCAUAAGCAACAAAUGCAGACCAAGAGCUCCACAUAGAACAUUCUCAACACAUCACUUUGUGGCAGUUGUACAAAUCAAAUCUAACACUAAACCUAGUAAUUGGAAGAAAACAAUAAAUCAAUAGUUCUAAUCCAAGAACCUGCCAGUAUACAAGGGAUACAAAUAUAUAAACUUAAUUAGAGAGAAAAAAAAGAGUAAAAUAAUCCAAAAUCUAGAUAUCAAACAACCUUUUAACUUUUGAACCAUACAAACACGUUACACAAGCAAGAAAACGCUGAAUUACAUUAAAAUAUUGGGGGGAAGAGAAGAAGAAAAAACCCAUUAUUCUGUUAUUUUCAUUUUAUGAAAUUACUUACACAAAACACCAUAAAAAUAAGCAAAAAAUCAAAGAAAAAUGAGCUGAAAAAUGUAAAAGUUUACCAUCCCAUUGAAAGUUGUUCCAGUAACUGGUGUCACCCCAAGACCAUGCUCCGAUUCCGAGCCUUGUCACUUUGAGCUCCGAUCCUCCUAACUUCAAUUUGUCUUCUGUAUCUGUUUUGAGAGCAGCGGUAGUGGCAAAAUCCUCGGAAGCAACCGCUCUUAUUCGGUUGGGUUUCUUGCAACUCAAAACUGAGAAACAGGCACUGCUGACAUUCAUGGCCAUUGAUGAUAUUCCUUUGGAACUCAAGGGCAAAUUCUGUACAAGCAAUUCCUAACACAAAUAAGAUUUUAUUUUACUUUUCAAAACAAAAUAUAAUUAUUUAUUUUUGCUGAAGAAUUUUUAUAUCCAGUGGAAAGUAAAGUAUCCACAGAAAAAUUUCAAGACACGUACGUAGUUUAGCAAGCAUCCACAGGAAUGUUAAAUACAGAUAGCCAUUAAAACUCAGUACAGAGAGAAGAAGAGAGUUAGAACAAUUACAAGAUAAUUGAGAGCAAAAGAGAGUUAGAAACCUUUACCUUUCAGUAGCAGUAACACCAAUUGAGAGCAAUGGAAGGAGUGACACAGAGAAAAAGAAAAGAAAAAGGUCGACUGGUUGGCAAAUCGAAAGAGUGACUGGUUGUAAAGAAAAAGAAAAGAAAAGGUUGAGAGACAGAGGAAGAGGCGAAGGAAUGGGGAAGCCAAUCGGGAGGCAAAGGUAGAACGAAGGUAGAACGAAGGAAGAGGCGACGGAAUGGGGAAGCCAAUUGGGAGGGUAAAACAGGGAGGGUAAACCAUGCAGCACCUAAUCUGAGCAGAAGGGCUGUAUUACAAAUCGGUGGUUUUCACCGAUUAGAUCUGUAUUGUAUUACACGCGUAUUAGAAACACAUUCAACCAAACGAUGGAAUAAAGAUGUAUUAGGUGGGGCCCACCGAUUAGGACAUAGUGUAGGAUUCUAGAUCAAUAUAAUGCUGUCACUCUUGUUACAGUGUUAAAAGAUUCUUAAUUGAAGUGGACGAUGUUCAUAACUUCAUAUGUUUCAAUCAUCAUAUAAAUCAGAUUCUUUGAUUUGUCUGUAUUUAACCAUAUUAAGAUUUAACAGAGAGACAAGCAUGGCCUCCCUUGUUAAAGGCAUUAAUGUUCAACUUAUUUGCUAUUUCCAUGGUUCGAAGAGUUCCAAUGGAAAAGAAAACCAAACUUUUUAUUCCAGAGGAUAAGUAAAAGUAUUAAAAAAUACAAAGGGGACAAGACCCAGAAAUCCAAGUUAGAAAGCCACACAAGCACUUUAAUAAAGAAAACUAACUAAAUGUCUAAGUAACAUACGGUAUCAUGGAUCUUCAAUAGUCUAGGCCCUAGGGUUAACACUGUUAAUAAAGAAAACUAACCUCUGAUUCUGGAAAUGGGUGGAGCCGUAGAGGACCGGAGGUGGAUUGGUGCCGGAGGUGAAUGGUGAGAAAAAAGGAGAGGAGGGCAGUCGGGCAAGGGGUUAGGGAUUUGUGGAAGAAGGGAAACGGGAAAUGGGGGAAAUGGGUGGAACCGUGGAGGAUUGGAGGUGGAUCGUUGCCGGACUGGAGGUGGAUCGAUGUCGGAGGUGGAGGUGGAGGUUGAGAAAAAAAUAGAGGGCAGUCGGUGGUAGGGAUUUCUGGAAUAGGGGAAACGGGGAAAUAGGGGAAAUGGGGAAGAAAAUCAAUAAAUGUUUUAAAAAAAUAAAAAUAUAUUAUUUUCGGGCCGGGAGUGGGCCAAAAAAGUUUUGCCUCAGGCCCAGCUCAUUUUUUAAACGGGCCUCUUUUUUCUGCCCAAUCUCAUAUUUCGGGACUAUAUUUUUACCUGAACCUUCUUAUAUUUCGAGAGGGGCCGUCAGGCCGGGCCGCCCGGCCCAUGAGCACCUCUAGUGAUGGGUGGGGCUAGAUUAGUUGGAGUCUAGGUUGAUUUUAUACGUGAUAUUAAUAUUAUAUAUAAUUAUUUAAAAAUAAUAUGGUCCUAUAAACCUCAAAUUAUACUAAAUUUGUCCAUAUCAAUAUAUAAUUAAAACAAAUUUGCCGUAAGGCAUUUGUCAUGGUGGAUCACUUGAAUACUUCACAGCAAAUGACAACCAGCUUAUUGGGCUAAUCCUUCAAGGGUUGAAAUUUUGCACUAGCUUGAAGAAAGUCCGCCUUGAAAAAAUCUGACUCAGAGGGAAUAUAUCUAAAUAUUUAGGUGUUUACCUGAACCUAAAAUUCAUUGACUUGACAAUGAAUUUCAAGUUGUAGUGUCUUUCUAUUAGGGGUUGUGCAAAAGUUGAUAUCUUUAUUUUAUCUUGGUUUGAAUGGAAAUAAACUUUCUGGCAGUGUACACUUGGAACUAGGACUUAUGUCCAAACAUUUGUAUCUGGACUUGUCUGCAAACCAAUUGAGCAAGUCCAUCAUUGAAACUUUCAGGUUAAAAUAAUCGGCUAAAUAUCUCUAUUAGUACUUGUAUUUUAUGAAAGUUGCGAAUUCAAUCCCAAUGCUUUAAAUUGAGUUGGGUUUAUAAAUUAUACUAGAUUAGGUUUAUAUUGGGUAGGACUUAUAUAGGGGUGUUGGGGUGAGCCGCUGGUUGGGGAUUAAGUGGGCAGUAGGCUAAGCCUAAUACAUAUAAUACAUUAUAUUAGUUAUUAAGUUCGAUUAAUUUGGUUAAUUACUUGCUUUCGAGCCAAAUUAACCGAUAACUGAGCUUUCAAAAAAUUAUUAACCAAUCUUUGAUCGAAUUAGAUUAGUUAAUUGACCGAUUAAUUUUAACUUAAAUUUGAACACUCCUAAAUCUGUUACUCCAAUAUGAUGAUCUUUAAAUUAUUUUUUUAUAAAUGUAUUUGUUUCAAUAUAAUAUAUAUUUAAAAUGGUUAAAAAAGUAUGAAUUUGUCAAAUUCAUAUAUACCUUAGGAACCAAAAUCUACUAGUUAGUAGGAAUCCAACAAAUUAUUGUUUUUAAGAAAUAAUCCUGAAUGUUAUAUUUUGUAUAUAUGUUAUCACUCAAUUUGCAUAUAUAUAUUUUUUAAAUUCAAAUCCAAAAUUUAAAACUAAGUUCCCAAACGCUACAUAAAUUGGAUAGUAAGUUACUUCCAAAUAUAACAUUCAUUACUAUUUCUAAAUCCAUCGAUUUGUCAAGUCCUUAUUUAGUAGAAAAUUCAAAUUUCUUAAAUUUAGGGCAAAUAUGCAAAAUUAAAUUUACCACUAUACUUCCCUCCAUCAAUAUUUUAAAAUUUUAAAAUUAUUCAUAAGGCUAAAAUAACAAUUUUUUAUUUUAAGAGUCCGACCCCUUGCCAACCCCUUGGAUUCGCCUCUAACCAUGAAAGUUUAAUUUACUUUUCAAAUACAUUUAUUUAAUUUAAAAAAUAAAAAUUCAAACCUCGUAAUGAGUAUUAUUUGAAGGGCAAGCGAGAUGGCCUUAAGAAAACUGAAUAAAGUGCAAAAUCACAAUACUAUAUCAUUUUAACUUUGUCAAUAUUUCCGUAUCCAAAAAGAAAGCACCCAAUUACAUCAACAACUUCAAAGUUUUAAGCAAAAUAAUUAACGAUCUCUCUUCACCUUCACCAUCAACAUGGGUCUUGACUCAACUCCAUGCACCAACACGUUCCAGUUGAGGCCUAAAAGGGAGGGGAAAAAAAUCUGAGAUUAGAAAUAUAAUUUUAUAUUAAUGUAGCGGAAAUUAAAGGCUUAAGGGGCAAAAACCAAAAAAGUCCCCAACACUUUUCCAAAAAAAUCAAUUGAACCCCUAGACGUUAGAAUAAAUUAAGCCCUUUUAUCAUUAAAGUUAUCCAUCAAAGUUACAAAGCCAAAAGUGCCAUUUUUUGCUGGUUGUUUUCACCACAUGGCAAAAACUAGUAUUUAAUGUAUAAAACAUUAAAAAAAUCAACAAACAUUUAUAAAAAGUCAUAGAAUAUCGUAUAAUAUAUAUUUUAUAAUUUUCUAUUGAUUUAAUAUAUAAAAUACAUGUUUUUACCACAUGGUCACGUGGCCAAAACAGCCUGAAGAAAACCAGCACCCUUGGCUUUGUAACAUUGACCGUUAAACGGUCAAAGGGCUUGAUUGAUUGAUUGUAAUUCAAACGUUCAAGGGCUCAAUUGAGUGAAAACAAAAAAGUUCAUGGAGCUUAAUUGAUUUUUUGAAAAAUUAUGGGGGCUGUUCUUUACCCUUUAGCCAAAAUUAAAGUAUAUUUGAUUGAUAUAUAAUAUAAUCAUUCUGAUACAUAAAAUUAAUAAUUAAAAAUAUAUACACAUAUCCAUCAGCAGACCACAUCAACAGGCACCAAAUGAGCCCUAAAAAUCAACAUUGUUGUUAAUAAUAAUAAAAGCUUCCAUGACCUUUUACAGCAAUCAAAAGUGAGUAAGAUUAUUAUUAUUAUUAUUAUUAUAACUCACAACUACCAACAAAACAAACACGUCGGAGAAACGAUCUCCAUAAUCUAUUAAUGGUUUUUCGGAUAUACAUCUGCAGUCUGCAGCAUUGAUCUUCAUAUGUAAUUCAUUCCAUUUUCAUUUUUGACUUCUUACGUGUUGGAGCUUCAUCAGUCAAGCACACAAGAACAAAAUCAAAGAAAUGAGGAAAAAACAAUACAGAUAUAAUUAUCACUCCCAAACCUUCUUACUUUCCAAGAAAACAUACGAUACAAAACCGAAAAUAGGAUGGCAAAAUAUUUAACAAGAAUUUCCAAAUAAACAUUUUUGUUCCCUACUAAUUACUUUUUCUCUACUUCAAAUUCACUAGUUGUAGGACUAAGUAGUUCCCAUUUAUUAGAGUUCUAUUCUUAAGUAAUAUUUUGUCCACUCUUACUGAUUUCAACAAGCUAAUAGCUCACUUAGUAAUAACAUUCACCAUCUCAAAUCAAAUUCAGCCUAUUGAAUAAAUCUAUCCUCACUUAGUAAUAGUUAUAUUUUCUGCACUUUCAUCUUGCUUCUUAUCAUAUGUAUGUUGCAAAAAUUUCUGUUCAGUAAGAUGAGGAAACCUUGUAAACCAGUAAAACAAGAUGUUGCAAGAAGACAGAAAGGAAGACUAAAAGGAACAAGUGCGGUGAUAAAGGUUGUACGUUCCCGAGGCCAGUUAAAUCAUGAUGAUCGUACCAAUCGUACAGAAUUUCUUGAGAGCCAAAACUUCAUCUCUGGGACAACUGUAUAGCCUUUUCGAGUGAAGUUAAAAGGGCUAGGAAUGUAUUAGGAAAGCACUAAUAUGAAAGUAAAACCAAUCAUGAGUAGUGGGAGAGACGGAGGUUAUCAAAAGUAAUUGGGGGGGGGGGGGAAUGAAAGUCAAGUAGAAGUUACAACCUAAGUAAUAGUUUGGUCAUAGGUAGGCCUGCUCACAAGUCGAGCCUAGACAGGAUACUAACACCUUUCACAUUUGGCUAGGCCCCUGACCCAGCACAAAAUAUGGGCAAUAUCAUUCGACUAGACCCAACCCUAAUUACCAAAAGGGAGCCAUGCUUGCCCCAACACAACCCAUCCAAUUUCUUUUUCUAAUUUUAUUUAACUGGCAGUCAAGCUUUACUUUGUUUACUUAUCGUUCAAGCUUAUCAUAGUCCUUAUCAAUAUUGGCAUUUCUACGUGUGAUAUCCAUCACCGACAAAAGGACAUCAUUUUACUAAAUGUUCACUUGCCUAUAGGUUCUACGCGUGAUAUCCAUCACCGACAAAAGGACAUCAUUUUACUAAAUCUUCACUUGCCUAUAGGUAAUGACCUCACUCUGAUAUUUUAGGCAGAAACAUUGUGAUAGUCUGCCAACUUCCUAAGUAGGAAAUUAAGCCUUUAUUUAGAUCAGGAUAUUUUAUUUUCUUGUUGGAACAAAAAACUAGAAGCAACUAUUGGGGGUAAGGCAAGACGGAACUUGAGUUCUAGUUCUCCAAAGGUGCUAGGAGCCUCGUACCCAUUUAAAACAACAAAUAGAGCAGACAUUUUCACACAAUGCAAAUCCGACACCUGAUUCGUCUACUCCAUACCUUACCAUUACUAAAGUUUUAUACAGGAAGUUCCAGGCUCACUAUCAACUUCUUAGCGACAGCAAGAGCAAACAAAAUGCAAUGACAAGCAGUAUUGGCAAAUGAAAAAUCCGUCAAUUUACAAGGAUGGGAAUAAUUAAGAUGUGGUAGUGAUGUGAAGGGGGCACUAACCUUCAUUUAGAGUAAACCAAAUGUCAUGGCAAGCAGCAUUGGCAAAUGAAUAAUUAUGAUGUAGUAGUGAUAUGAAAGGGGCUCUAACCUUCAUUCAGAAAAACCAUAUACUAGAAAUAUCUUCGGGAUAUGGAACAGUGAUGGCAGAUUGAUGCUCUGCAGCUGCAUGAAUCCCUCCCCCCUCGUUGCACCAAAUAUUAAAUCUUAUGUACUCAAAAAUAUCGAGAUGGUUGACCCAACCCGAAAUAAGCUUGCCAUUGCCCAAACGAUACAGAGCAGGGAUUUAAAUAGCGGUCCGUUACCGAAAUAGCGGCCGUUAUAUAGCGGUAACGGCACCGUCCGAAACCGUUACUGCCGAAACCCGCUAUACCCGCAAUACACAAUAAGUAAUGUAAAAUUCACGACCGCGAUACCCGCAGUGACCGCAAUAGCGUCCGUUAUGUCCGCGACCGCGACAAACGCGACGCGACCGAAAACGCGACCGCGACCGCAAUUUAAAUCCCUGAUACAGAGUGCUUUCCGGUGGUGGAGCCACUGGAAAUUCUGAUGACCAUUUGACGGGCAAAUGUUUCUUAUCAAGCAAAUUAUACGCCUCCAAAGAACAUUUAUAAAUGAAAGUAUGCAGCACAUCGUCCACAAUUGCCGCUGAGUCAGACCAGUAACAAAAUUUUUGUUCGAGGCAAACCCAUGAUUUACGAUCAUAGUAAUAAGCGUAAAGAGUAUCACUGGCAUGGCAGUGCACCAAAAUCCGAGAUCGGGAAGAAUCUAGAACAGGAACACAUAUAUCGAUAGCUUCCGGAGGGGGCGACAAUGGUUCCCAAAUAUCCCCACUUAUAUCGUAAACCUCACCAAAAGAUUCAGAACCCAUACAUUCGAAGACGUAAAUCUUUCCUUCAGCAGCAAGAACAUGGGGAAAAGCCCGAGGGAACAACAUAGAAGUAGUUUUUCUCCACCCACGUUCAAGGUCCUUCAAAUCUAGUUGGAAAACAUCGUUUACAGCAUCAAAACCAAAAGGAGUAGCAUCAUUUUCGCGUAUUCCCCCAAUAACGUAAACGUGGUUGCCACAGGAAACGGCAGUGGAACAUGAAGGAGCAUCAGGUGGCAUCGCCUUAAUAAAGACUUUAUUGCUCUCCAGAUCAAUAAAGUGCAAACCGAGCGUUAUUUUACCAUCGGUACCAGGCCGUUUCUCGACGAGGGCCCUGAUCAGUUCAUUUGGCUCUCGCCCAUCAAAGUAACUGGAGGAAUCACUAGUAUCGCCGCUCAUGGUUCACCCUCAGCUUCGCCUUUCCAGAUCCAAAAUCACUUUUAGUUUUAGGGUUUCUAGCUUGGGUUUUUUUUUUUUAAUUUGGUUUGGGUUUAGUAGUCAAUGACAAAAAAAGAUUUAUAGUUAAAUAAAUUUGUUGACAAGUUAGUAAACGGUUGAUAAUUUUUAUUUUAAUAGUAAUUUGCUUGUUUUAGUUGUUAAUUUCCAAAGUAAAGUAUUGUCAAUAUGACUGUUUGUAUUUUAAAAUUAUUUAUUAAUUAUGAUUAUUUUUAAUGAAUAUAAAAUAAUAUUAUUUCGUAUCAAACGUUAGAGGUUUGUUGAAAUUUGAUCAAUCAAUUGAAUCAGGAGUUGAUAGGUAUACUAAUUUGAAUGAGACAAAAAAUCGGUUAGCAGGUUUACAUGAACAAAUUGAAUCGGAUUAAAUUGACUUAAUAUGAUAGUUUAGAGUAUUAAAAAAGAUGUGGAAAUGUGAAGCUUAAAGUUUUGGGUUUUUUGUUUAUUCAGUAAAUAAAAAUGUUGAUUUUUUAAAGCUGAUAGCUUUGUGUAUAUAUUGCUUUGCAUGUGCUUUCUGCGAUAAUUAUAUUUGUAGGUGUUUAGGUAGCCCCCAAAAUUCAACAUUAUUUUGACAGCAACUAGUGCUUAUGAUAAUAGUGUUUAAAAAAUUGAGUUCACUUGUCGUACCGGUCGUUCUGGCCCCAUUAGUGUUGCAUCUUGUCCUUCAGGAAAGCUAGUUCAAAUCGAGCACCCUUGUCGGCGAUCGAAUCGGGUCAAACAUCUCUUAGAAUCAAAGCUGCUAAUGGGGUAGUAAUUGCUACUGGGAAGAAAUUGCCUUCGAUCUUGGUUUAGCUGUUAAGAAAAUACAGUGCCGACACCAAGUGUUGAAGUUGUUUACAGUGUUGGGCAGGUUAUAGCAUUUUGGAUCAAGUGUAACAUAAAGUCUUUCUAAACUCGAACAAAACUUCAGGAAGCAAAGUAAGGCAUUGAUUGGUUCUCUUUCCAUUAAACAAUCAAGCCACCAAAGUUAUUUUAAUUCGCUCAAAUAACAUUCAGGUUGCCUACUUGAGAAGGCCACAAUGAUUUCUUUUACAGAGACCAUAACAAUAACGAGAAGGGAAAGGGAGUCUCAGUCUCAAAGUCCCAUAUGUCUAAUACAUUAGAAGACCUUGUCUGAUAUCAACCGUGACAUCUUCCAAAAAGAACCAACAAUUGCCCCAAAAAGCAUCGUUGUCUCUAAAUUGAAAAGACACUAAGUAUAUAUAUUUAUUAUAUUCGGGUCGGGCCAAAAAAGUGGUGCCCGAGGCCCGACUCGUUUUCUAAACGGGUCUCGUUUUUUUGCCCAAACUCAUAUUUCGGACCUAUAUUUUUACCCGAAUCCUCCCAUAUUUUGGGCGGACCGUCAGGCCGGGCCAGACCGCCCAACUCAUGAUCACCUCUAGUUCUGAUUGAUCUAUGUUGUGGUGUGCUAGCCCCUUGGAUAACUCAGGUCAUUGCAAAGGUUGGUCUGAAGCAUGUCUUCGUAGUAUAAUCUAUGGUUGGUGAUGCACCACGAUUACUAUGUCAGUUUAUAAUUGUUCUUUUAAUAUAAAUUUUAAUUUUCUCUGUUUUUGAAACUUAAUGGCUUCAGGUUGGUUUAACGAUGGAACUCGUGGAGGACCUUUUGGGUAUAAUCCAGGUAUUAUUACAAAAAUUUGAAAGAAAAAGUGAUUAACUGAAAAAUGGAAUUCAAAGAUAAGUAAUAAGGCAUGAUUAUUUUACUAAAGACAUUUAUGUAGGUGUUCAAAUGAGAAUAAAAUUUAAGCCAAAGAGAUUUAUAUGUAUGAUAUUUACAGUUUACAAAUGUAUGGAAUUGCUUGUUAUGUUGUUAAUUGCUGGUCUCCUUGCACUUUCCAUGCCUUGGUUGAGAAUUAAUAAAAAAAAAUCCAUGAACUUCUGUGCUUUUUAGAUUUUGAAGAUAUCCAAUCCAGAUUAGUUUUGAAACAACAUUUCCAAGUAGAAUGCAUUUCAUUCCCUUUUUUUAAUGGCAAGGUUCCUGUUUCAAACUUUUUAUCUCAAGUUCAGAAUGCAUUAUAGCCCAUCUGGCUUAAAUGCCUAACAGUUAUGGCAUCAUUGCAAUAUCAGGGAUGCGAUAGGUGAAGUUUAACAUAUUAACCAGUUUUAAUGUGCAUUUUGGUUGGGGGCAUGUGAUACUUGCAACUAGUUAGAUUUCUAAUAACUUUUUAUGUUAUAUGGUUAAGCAGUUUACAUGUCCAUUUGGCCAAACUGCAAAUCCAUCAUACUGCAAAAUAAGCAAACCUGUAGCUAAGGCAUGCAUCAUUCCUGGUAUUCCAAGAGAAUCAACCCAUGAAUAUAAGAUCCCUAGAAAUCUUACUUAUUUGGAAUGUCUGUGCAUGAGAGACAGUCCUUUUAUCAAAUAGUGGCAUGCCCAUCUGUUUUGAUCAAUUGGUCUACAAUCGAUGAUUAACGUACUGUUAUCUGGAAUUAUUUGUUAUUUGCUUUUUGUUUGUUGUCCUGUUCUUGUAACCGAAGUGGUGGUUCAUUAGUUUUAGUUAUUACUGGUCCUAUUGGUAAAGGAGAGUGUUAAGUAGUUUGGAAUCAGCUUUAUGUUUCCUUUUCUGCAUGCACUAUGCAGUGAAAUUUGUUGCUUGCGACAUUCAUUUUGUUUAUUUCUCUCAUGUAAUGCAGUUGUAUCAUUUCUUUUAAAAUCUUCUACCAGGGAGCCUGCCACUCAACAGCUCAUGCUCGUGUCGUGCUCGUGCUGCACUUAAGUACAUAGUGCUAGGUCUGUCUAGUCGCAUGGAUGAUACACUUGGGAAGUAUAAGGUGCUAGAUUAUCAUUUUCUUACUGUGUAUUUGUAUAUGUGUUUAUUUAUUUGUGGAAACAGUCCAAUUUAUGUGGGAAAGGAACAAACUCAUCACCAUUGGCAUAAUACCUCUUUAAGAGAAAAUAAUUGAUUUCUUCUGGUUUACCAUCUAAUAUAAUGUUCCAUUGUAGAAAUGCUAGUCGUUUCAGGAAGUGAAGCACAAUACAUUUUAUUUUAUCUUUGUAAAUCAUGUUAACUGUGUUGUUAUUCGAUUAAUUCGGGUAAUUCGGUUAAUUUUUGACCAAAAAUAAAGUAUAUAUAAUUUUCGGUUAAUUCGGUUAACCGACCAAAUUAACCAAAAAAAUUUCGAUUCGGUUAAUUUUUUUGAAAACAUUUUGGUUCGGUUAACGGUUACAAAUUUUGAAAGGUCGGUUAAUUCAGUUAAUGUCAUUUCAGGUCGGUUAACAGGCUAAACACCCCUACUUAGAGGGAAUAUAUCUAAAUAUUUAGGUGUUUACCCGAACCUAAGAUUCAUUGACUUGACAAUAAAUUUCAAGGAAUAGUGUCUUCCUAUUGGGGGUUGUGCAAAAGUUGACAUCUUUGUUUUAUCUUGGUUUGAAUGAGAAUAAACUUUCUGGCAGUGUACCCUUGGAACUAGGACUUAUGUCCGAACUUUUGUAUCUAGACUUGUCCGCAAACCAAUUGAGCAAGCCCAUCUCUGGAACUUUCAGGUUAAAAUAAUCAGCUAAAUAUCUAUAUUAGUAUUUGUAUUUUAUGAAAGUUGCAGAUUCAGUCCCAAUACUUUAAAUUGGGUUUGGUUUAUAAAUUAUACUAGAUUAGGUUUAUUUUGGGUAGGACUUGGGAGUGCUGGGGUGAGCCGCUGGUUUGGGGAUUAGGUGGGCAGUAGGCUAAGCCUAAUACAUAUAAUAUAUGAUAUUAGUUAUUAAGUUCGAUUAAUUUGGUUAAUUACUCGCUUUCGAGCCAAAUUAACCUAUAACUGAGCUUUCAAAAAAUUAUUAAUCAAUCUCUGAUCGAAUUAGAUUAGUUAACUGACCGAUUAAUUUUAACCGAAAUUUAAACACUCCUAAAUCUGUUACUCUAAUAUGAUGAUCUUUAAAAUAUUUUUUUAUAAAUGUAUUUUUUUCAAUAUAAUAUAUAUUUAAAAUUGUAUAAAAAAAAGUAUGAAUUUGUCAAAUUCAUACAUACAUUAGGAACCCAAAUCUACUAGUUAGUAGGAAUCCAACAAAUUCUUGUUUUUAAGAAAUAAUCAUGAAUGUUAUAUUUUGUAUAUAUGUUAUCACUCAAUCUGUAUUAGAGGUGCUCAUGGGCCGGGCGCCCCGGCCCGGCCCGACGGCCCGCCCGAAAUAUGAGAGGGUUUGGGUAAAAAUAUAGGCCCGAAAUAUGAGCUUGGGCAAAAAAAUGUGACCCAUUUAGAAAACGAGCCGGGCCUCGGGCACCACUUUUUUGGCCCGGGCCCAGCCUGAUAUAAUAAAUAUAUUUUUUUUUAAUUUUUUUAAUUUUAAAAUAUUUUUAAAAUACUUUUUUUAAUUUUUUUAAUUUUAAAAUAUUUUAAAAACAAUUUUUUUAAUUUUUAAAAUAAAUUUUUAGUAUUUAUUAAAAAAAUGGGUCGGGCCCAGGCUUAUGAUUUUUUUCCCAGGCCGGGCCUGGGCAAAAUUUUAGGCCCAUAUUUCGAGCCGGGCCAAAAUUUUUUUAUGGGCCCGGCCCGACCCAUGAGCACCUCUAAUCUGUAUAUAUAUGGGCUGGACGAUUGGGUAAGAAAAAUCAGCAGAAUGUAAGGAGAAACAGGGGCAAAAUUGGAAACUUAACAAAUUAAACAUAUAAAACAAAGACGAAUGCGAAAAAUCUAGAGAUCUCUUCACAAUUUAUCAGCAAAAACGCCAUAGGAGGUCUGAAACAAGCUGGUUUUUCAUAUAUUUGAAUCAUGUAAGUUUAAUUCUUGAUUAUUUCUUCUAAUUUUUGUGAUUUUGAUACUUUUACAAUUAGGUCCAACUAAUUAUUUCAUUAGUUUUUGAUUUCAUGGCUGAUUUUGAAAGUUACCAUUGAUGAGUGCUCAUUUUUAUGAUGAAUAAACAUGGAAUUAAAGCUUUAAUUUUAUUAUAUGAUGAUUUAUUUAAGUAAUUUUGAUAGAAAUUGAUUUUAGGGACCUAAUUGUGAAAAAGUUGGGAAUUAAGGUUUGGUGUUGCGGUUUUGAAUAUGAAAGGCUAUGUAGUAGUCUAAAAUAGUUGGAAAAGGUGUUAAUUGAGAAAAAUUAGAUCAAUUGAGGGGUUAAUUGAGUAGGGACCAAAUUGUAAAAAUUGUAAAGUUUGGGUAAAAGUGUAAUUUCAAAAAUUUAAGGGCAUAAAUUGUGAAAUGAAUUUGAAUAGAAUUAGAUGCUGAUGAAUGAAAAAAAUUUCAUUUUAGAUCGAGAACCCGAAACAAGUCGAGGAAAAGAAAAAGUAGCUGAUUAGUCCCUGAACUUUUACAAAUUCAGCAAAUCGACCCAGGUAAGUUCAUAUGGCUGAAAUUCAAUGAUUAAAUGUUAAUUUCAUGAAUUAUAUAAUGUAUGAUGAAAUAUAUAUUAAUUGAUGAAAUGAGAAUAAAAUAAAAAUGCGAAAAUUGAAUAAAUGAUCAAAUUGAGCGGAACACCGGAUUUGAGUACUUCUGAUCAAGUGACAAAAUGAUAAGUGAUAGUUUAGCUACACUUAUCUGAUCAAGUGACAAAGUGAUAAGUGGUAGCUUUAGCUACACUUAUCUGAUCAGGAACAAGUGAUAAGUGGUGAUAAAGUGAUAAGUGGCAGCUUUAGCUACACUUAUCUGAUCAAGUGAUAAAGUGAUAAGUGGUAGCCUAGCUACACUUAUCUGAUCAAUAACAAGUGAUAAGUGAUCAUACGUAAGACCAUAGUUAUACUAUGGCAAAGUGAAAGUGAAGUACUAAAUUUUCCAUAACCGUUCCUUAAUUUUGAUCGAGGAUGGUAAGUGACAAAUGGGCCCAAAGGAAUUAUGGUAAAAGAAUAAGUAGUAGUGAGUUUAUACCAAGGAACUCACCAAAGAUUGUGGUUGACAGGUAAACUUAGUAAUGGUGUAUAAUGUAUGAGUGUAUAAAUGUUUGGUAAGAUUUAUGUUUUGUGCCUAUGAACUUACUAAGCUUUCUAUAAGCUUACUUGUGUGUGUUUACUGUUCUUGUAGAUUGACGUAUUUAUACAUUCGGAGGAUCGGAUCUACACCAAGAAUCACACUAUCUAGAUUUACUCCGGUAGAUUUUGUUAAACAACUUUUUGGAUUUAUAUGGCAUGUAUAGGGAAUUGAAGUAAAAAGUAAUAGAAUGAAUGACUAAGUAUGCAAAGUAAAUUUGAAUGUUAUGGUUGUGUUAGAUAUCGAGAUAUACAUGUUUUUAAUUUAAAAUGGUUGAUUGGUUGAACUUCAUUAGUAUUUAAAUGAAGUAGUUGAAAUACUUGAAUUGGAUGUGAUUUGAAAUUUGCAGGGGAGGUUAGAUAAUUAUAAAGGGGUUAUAUUGAAUUUUUUUUAAAAAAAUUUCAAUGGAACAGUUUUUGGACAGCAACAUUGAUGUAACUUUGAAAAAUCACUAAAAAUAGUGGAAAUAGAAUGAAGUUGAAUGGGAUAUGAAAUUAAAGCUGAAUGAGUCUACUUUCACAUGAAAGCAAUAGAGUUAGCAAAAGAGUUAUAUACUUUUAGAUAUUUGAAUUUUAGUGAGACAAGGUCAGAAUGAUUUUGAAGUCCCCUGUUCUGACUUUAGAAAUUCAUUAAAAAUUGUACAAAAGGAAUUAUGAGUUAUAAUUUUUAUGUAUAGAUUCUUUAAUGAGUCUACUUUAAGUAUAAAUAAGUAGAAACACCAUAUGAAGUUUGUACAAUGAUAUAAUUAAAUUUUAGUGAUGAGAGGUCAGGAUAGUUGAUCAGUGAAAUAGGGGAGACUUUAACUAAUGAACUGUACUAAUUUAUUGAACCAAAAAUUUUGAAAAUUUUAUGGUGAAAAGAUAUUUGAAUCUAGUUUCAGGGAAAAUUUACGGAUCUAAAUUUUGAGUUUUUUAGAUUGAGUUAUAAUUAAUUUAGUGACUGCUGCGCAGGUGGACAGCUUUAUUAAGAACAGUGAUAUAACUUUUAUAAGUAAAUUUUAUGCCCCGAACUUUUAAGUUAAGUUAAGUAACGCCUCAUGCUCGACUCCGGCUAUGGUCUUGGGUAAGGGGUUUUACACCUGAAUUCAGCUCUGACCACAAAGGUUUAAUUUAAUUUUCAAAUACAUUUAUUUAAUUUAAAAAAAUAAAAAUUCAAACCACUUAAUGGGUGUUAUUUGAAGGACAAGAAAAAUGACCUUACGAAAACUGAAUAAAGUGCAAAAUCACAAUACUAUAUAGUUUUAACUUUGUCAAUAUUUUAGUAUCCAAAAAGAAAUCACCCAAUUACAUCAACAACUUCAAAGUUUUAACUAAACUAAUUGACGGCGCCUUCAAAGUCUCUCUUCACCAUCAACAUAGGUCUUGACUCAACUCUAUGCACCAACACGUUCCAGCUGAAGCCUAAAAGGGAAGGGAAAAAAAUCUGAGAAUAAAAAUAUAAUUUUAUAUCAUUGCAGCAAAAAUUGAAAAAAGUUAAAGGUCUUGAUUGAUUGAUUGUAACUCAAAUGUUCAAGGGCUCAAUUGAGUGAAAACAAAAAAAAAUCAGAGAGAUUAAUUGAUUUUUUGAAAAAGUAUGUGGGCUGUUCUUUACCCUUUAGCCAAAAUUAAAGUAUAUUUGAUUGAUAUAUAAUAUAAUCAUUCUGGUCCAUAAAAUUAAUAAUUUAAAAUAUAUACACACAUAUCCAUCAGCAGACCACAUCAACAGGCACCAAAUGAGCCCUAAAAAUCAACAUUGUUGUUAAUAAUAAUAAAAGCUUCCAUGACCUUUUACAGCAAUGAAAACUGAGUAAGAUUAUUAUUAUUAUUAUUAUUAUAAUUCACAACUACCAACAAAACAAACGCAUCGGAGAAACGAUCUCCAUAAUCUAUUAAUGGUUUUUCAGAUAUACAUCUACAGUCUGCAGCAUUGAUCUUCAUAUGUAAUUCAUUCCAUUUUCAUUUUCGUCUUCUUACGUGUUGGAGCUUCAUCAGUCAAGCACGCAAGAACAAAAUCAAAGAAACGAGGAAAAAACAAUACAGAUAUAAUUAUCGCUCCCAAACCUUCUUACUUUCAAAGAAAACAUACGAUACAAAACCGGAAAUAGGAUGGCAAAAUAUUUUUGUCCCCUACUAAUUACUUUUUCUCUACUUCAAAUUCUCUAUUUGCAGGACUAAGUAAUUCCCAAUUAUUAGAGUUAUAUUCUUAAGUAAUAUUUUAUCCACUGUCACUGAUUUCAACAAGCUAAUAGCUCACUUAGUAAUAACAUUCACUAUCUCAAAUCAAAUUUAGCCUAUUGAAUAAAUCUAUUCUCACUUAGUAAUAGUUAUAUUUUCCGCACUCUCAUCUUGCUUCUUACCAUAUGCAUGUUGCAAAAAUUCUGUUCAGUAAGAUGAGGAAACCUUGUAAACCAGUAAAAUAAGAUGUUGCAAGAAGACAGAAAGGAAGACUAAAAGGAACAAGUGCGGUGAUGAAGGUUGUACGUUCCCGAGGUCAGUUAAAUCUUCACUUGCUUACAAGUAAUGACCUCGCUUUGAUAUUUUAGGCAGAAACAUUGUCAUAGUCUACCAACUUCCUAAGUACUUCAUCGGGAAUUUAAGCCUUUGUUUAGUUUAGGAUAUUUUAUUUUCUUUUUGGAACACAAAACUAGAAGCAACUAUUGGGUGUAAGGCAAAGACAGAACUUGAGUUCUAGUUCUCUAAAGGUGCUAGGAGCCUCGUACCCAUUUAAAACAACAAAUAGAGCAGACAUUUUCACACAAUGCAAAUACGACGCCUGAUUCGCCUGCUCCGUACCUUAGCAUUACUCAAGUUUUAUACAGGAAGUUCCAGGCUCACUAUCAACUUCUUAGCGACAACAAGAGCAAACAAAAUGCAAUUACAAGCAGUAUUGGCAAAUGAAAAAUCCGUCAAUUUACAAGGAUGGGAGUAAUUAAGAUGUGGUAGUGAUGUGAAGGGGGCACUAACAUUCAUUUAGAGCAAACCAAAUGUAAUGGCAAGCAGCAUUGGCAAAUGAAUAAUCAUGAUGUAGUAGUGAAAUGAAAGGGGCUCUAACUUUCAUUCAGAACAAAAAUAUAUCACAAAUAUCUUCUGAUCGAUAUGGAACAGUGAUGGCAGAUUGAUGCUCUACAGCUGCAUGAAUCCCUCCCUGCUCGUUGCACCACAUAUUAAAUCUUAUGUACUCAAAGCUCAUAUCGAUAUGGUUCACCCAACCCAAAAUACACUCGCCAUUGCCCAAACGAAACAGAGUGCCACUCCUUGGUGGAUCCACUGAAAAUUCUGAUGACCAUUUGACGGGCAAAUGUUUCUUAUCAAGCAAAUUAUACGCCUCCAAAGAACAGAACUCACCAGAAUAAUUAUAUAUGACAGUAUACAUCACAUCGUCCACGAAUUGACGCUAAGUCAGACCAGUAACAAAAUUUUUGUUCGAGGCAAACCCAUGUUUACAAUCAUAGGUAAUAAGCGUAAAGAGAAUCAUUGACAUGGCAAUGCACCAAAAUCCGAGAUCGGGAAGAAUCUAGAACAGGAUUACUUAGAGCGAUAGCUUCCGGAGGGGGCGACAUUGGUUCCCAAAUAUCCCCACUUAUAUCGUAAACCUCGCCAAAAGAUUCAAAACCUAAUUGUUCGAAGAUGUAAAUCUUUCCUUCUGCAGCAAAAACCAGGGGAAAAGCCCGAGGGAACAACAUAGAAGUAGUUUUUCUCCACCCACGUUCAAGGUCCUUCCAAUCUAAUUGGAAAAUAUCGUUUAUAUCAUCAUAACCACCUAAAAUUACUCAAGUAGCAAGGUUACCAACCUAGUUACAUACCGUCAGACUCAACAUACAAAAUAGCAACAAAAUGACUUUCGAGUUGAGCUGGAGAAAAUGGAUGCUUGACCAUGUAUUUACUAAAGCUCCCAUCCGAGACCUACGCAUAAAAAUAAAUAUAACUGUACGCUCAGUAAUAUAUACUCAAUAGUACUAACAUAAUUUAAAUUCAAUUAUAAACAUAAUAAAAUUGAAUAAACAAACAAGUAAGAAGAUUAAAUAUAUUAUUAACAUGCAUGAAAUUAAAUCUUUAACAUAGUCUAAUUUCUAGCGACUUGUUUUAAGAAAUCGAAUUUCUCGAUUUCAAUUGAAGUAAUUUGCUUCAAUUUGAUCCUCGAUUUCAAUUCUAAUCUCACCUAAGCUAUUCCGAAGUUCUAGUUACUACUCUUUAACCCGUAUUUCUCUUACCUGGAUUUUCUAAACUCGUAUUUCCUUUUCUUCCUCUAAAUAUACUUAAAGAGAAAACCAACUUGCUUACCUUUCAUAUAUUUUCAGAAAUAAUUAAUUUCGAAAAAACUGGCUCCCUAUAUCAAAACAUUAAAAUAACAAUAUUCAUUAAAAUAAUAACAUAAUAAAAAAACAUAUAAUUAUAUAUAUGAAAAAAUUAUAUAUGUUAAACUCAGGCUCGACCCAAUUUUUUUUAAAACUACAUAUACCAAAUCAAACUAUGUAUUUGACUUGGACCUGUUAUUAUGAAAUGCAACUGAUAUGAUUUGGUUUGGUUAUAACUCGAACAGCUUUGUAUUAUGCUAGACAAUAGCUGGUGGCUUUAUAACUAUUUCAAGACCUGACAAUUAAUCCUCUUCUCUCUUCACAUUCCUCUUUUCCCAUCUUUCUCCCACCAAAUUGCUUAUCUUGUUUUCAAGCUGAGCAUUUUACAACACGGUCCUCAUCAAUCAGGUUUUUAGCAAGUUUUAAAAUUUUCAAUGAGAAUAAAGCAUAAAUGUGCCACUACCACUUAAUAUUCUAUAUAGCACAUAGUUCAUGUAACAUUAACAUAAAGUAGAGAGAAAAGUUCGGCACUUUGGCUUGUCAAAAGUAGGCAAUUCCAUUUGCUAUCACAACAUUACAUAGACUGUCCAUUCACCAGUCUUCCCACAUGUGUUCCAACGAAAACAGAGAAUGUCAAAUGGAUUCAAGCAAUAGUAGCUUGAGUGCUUAAAUUCAAAGUCUAUUCUGAACUUCCUAAAGGUAUCUGAGUAAAUUAAACAGAAAACACAAACAAAAUAAUUCCAGAAAGAGACUCAUUUUAUUUCAGCAAUCAAGCAUCUUGCUUAAGCAAUCACUAGAAGGAUCUCAUCAAAAAGGGAUCAAUUAAACACAAAUCAUAACGAGCUAAGGGAAAAUUUGUAAUUGGUAGAUUAAAAAGAAAAAACAUAAGACUCAAGUACCGAAAGUACCUAAAAUUACUCAAGUAACAAGUUUACCGACCUAGUUACAUACCGUAAGACCCAACAUACAAAAUAGCAACGAAAUGACUUUCGAGUUGAGCUAGAGAAAAUGGAUGCUUGACCAUGUAUUUACUUAAAGCUCCCAUCCGAGACCUACGCACAAAAAUAAACAUAACUGUACGCUGAGUAAUAUUUACUCAAUAGUACUAACAUAAUUUAAAUUCAAUUAUAAACAUAAUAAAAUUGAAUAAACAAAUAAGUAAGAAGAUUAAAUAUAUUAUUAACAUGCAAGACAUUAAAUCUUUGAACAUAGUCUAAUUUCUAGCUACUUGUUUUAAGAAAUCGAAUUUCUCGAUUUCAAUUGAAGUAAUUUGCUUCAGUUUGAUCCUCGAUUUCAAUUCUAAUCUCACCUAAGCUAAUCCGAAGUUCUAGUUACUACUCUCUAACCCGUAUUUUCUAAACUCAGUAUUUCAUUUCUUCCUCUUAAUCACGUGAUUUUUUUAUUCUUUUCUUUUUCCUACUUCUAGUCCCGACUUUGAGGUGUGACAGUUUCUAAAUAUAUUUAAAGAGAAAACCAAUUUGCUUACCUUUCAUAUAUCUUCAGAAAUAAUUGAUUUCGAAAAAACUGGCUCCCUAUAUCAAAACAUUAAAAUAACAAUAUGAAUUUAAUAUGAAUUUAAAAAACAAUUUUACAAUGAUAAUAUAAUUUUUCUAUAUUCCUUACCUGCUAUUAGUUCUUUUUGCAUAAAGGAUUAAACCUUCAAAUAGAUGAAGAUAUAGUUCUGGCAGUAGCCUACUCAACUCAUUCUCAAUGUUAAUGAUGGUAACCUAUAAAAUAAACAAUUUAAGUAAAAGUUAAUAACAAAAGUAAAUAGAAUAUCAUAAUAAAAAAUACUGAAAUCUUACUUUUUGUGUUGCAUUGUCGUUGUAAUGACGGUAAACAUUAGAGCAGUACCGUACUACAGAGGAAAAGGAUUUGGGUGGGUAACUAAAUUUUGGAUGCUUGAAUAUAGAUCGAAGCACCGGAUCACGUUUCACCGCCAACACCCAAUCAUAUGAAUAUUUCUUUCCCAACGUCUUUAGGCAUUUCUCAAGAUCAUACAACUUAAUCUCUCCACGCUUCAUCAUGUGAUCCAAAUUUAUAAUAAAAUGGAACUUAUCAACAGGUCUCCAAAAUAAAGGCGCAUCCAGUAGAAACGCGGGACUCAUGUAUUUCCUAUCCAUUUGGACAUAGGCAAAUAAGUAAACAAAAAGAUUAUGAAAUUAAUGAAGUACACCACAUGAGUUAUCGAACUUUAAAGUAAAUGUGUGAAAGAUAACUUACAAGUGUUGAAAAUUGAGCUGGGUAAGAAAACAUGAUAGUUCAUUCGGCAUAUUGAAUUUCUGAUAAUUUUGGAUAACAGAUUCGAAUGGCAUAUUGACGAUGUAGUUCAUCAAAUAUUUUAACUGAUCAAUAACAGCUUCCAUUGGUUGGUCAGAUGCAUUUAAAUUGGGUAAAAACUUUACCCUCCCACCGAAAUUAGUGAUGAAUAUAGACUUUAUCGGAUCUUGCGUAUAAAUACUCUUAUUACUUUUAGCCCAUAUAUGAGCCACAUCCCUUAAGACCUUACCGAAAUCCUCACUAAUAUAAUUGAACCAUUCACUCUCAUUUCAGUUACUACUUUCCCACCUCUCCAUUCUUUCUCGAAAAUAUACUACAAUAUUUUUAGAAUAUUCUAAUGCAACCGGCCAUUCAUCUUGAUACCGUAGAACAUGAUGGCAGCAUAAAAUCCAAUCAUCUUGAUGCGCUACUAAAUGUGUGUAUAGUUCCAAAGCUUUCUCUUCGUCUUUAAACGACAAGAAAGUGGAGCUAAUUUCUUUUCCCGAAAUCUUUAGCACUCCAUAAUACACACCAUCAUCCUGGUCUAUAAUCGCACAACCUGGUUCCAACAUAGCUGUUGCAAACCAAAAAAUAAAAAUUAAAUUAACAAAAGAGACAAUGAUCAAAUGAAGAAUUAACCAUGGGAACAUCCUAUAGCCAAACAAAUUUCCACAAUAUCACCUCCAUUUCAAAUAUUAGCAGACAAGGAAACUGCUAAAGUAAAAAAGUCUAAACAUGGUGGUUGCUAAAGUAAAUUGCAAUAGACUGUUACAACUCAUUACCAACACAUUACAAUGUCUAAAUACGAUUUCAUGUUUUAUAUUUUAUAAAAAAUCAAACACUAAUUCAUAUAGUUUGAGAUUGUCAAGAGAUAAAAAAAUAAAAUAAAGAUUCUACAAUAUCCAAACAAUAUUAAAAGCGGCAGCGGAACAACAUUAAAAGCAGCAGUGAAACUGCACCAAAAACAACUUGCAAAAUGUAAUCAACCAAACAAAAUGCCCAAAUUUAAACUGCGGAAAAAGAAUUAAAACUUUAAGUUGCCCCAAAUGUAAUAAAAGAUAAAAAAAAAAUUCUGAUUUGAGAAUACAACUUAUUAUGUGCUUAUCAUGCUUUCGCUUUGGGGUUCCCUUGGACCCUAACACUUCAAACCAUGUUAAAUUGACAGCAAGGAGAGUGGCAGACUAGAGGUUUGCCGUGCUUGAGCUGCUCCCAUCUCAAGACCCCACAACUAGAAUUGGUCCUCUAAUCUAUUGACUUAUCACUUAAAACGAGUCCAAUUUUCACAUAUUACCCAGAAUUGAAGUGAAUAUCGAAUAACAGUAUGUGCUCAACACCAAUAUAUUCAAUUUUCUGAGCGACCUUACUCAGGGAAAAAAAAAAGGUUGAUCAAAUUUCUUAUGUAUAAACCAACCAUUUGCACAUUAUCUCAAAAUAAUUGCUUGUUUAUGUGUCUGUAUAUAUAUAAUAUGUAUGUAUGUAUGUAUAAUGUUCACUCUCCUAAGAAACUUUGUAAAAACCCACCUAAAUCAAAACAGAAACUCCUAUUUGGUUCAUCCAACUGCAGGUUUUCCCCAUUUUUAAUUAAUAAGAAAAUGCAUUUUCUUGUUUUAAUUCCUGUUUUUUCCCUGCAUUUUCUAGGAAUAAAUCAAAGAUAAAAGAGUUCAUAAACACAUAAAUCAUUGAAUAGAACUAUAAUAAAUCAAAUAAAAAAGAUUCAAGACAAAUCAACCUUAUCCCAAACUGAAUUUAACCUGAAAAUCCAAACAACCACAAAGCCAUACAAAUCUUCAAGUUUGAGUAACCAACAAAGAAUAGAGAAACCCCCAAAUCAAUACCAAAUCCAUAACUACGUGUUAUUCACUUUGCAAUAUGAACUCAUAACAUCUUCAGUAUAUCAAUCUAAGGUUUAAGUAAAGCAAAAGUUUUUAUCAUUUUCUGAAUUACUAAAAGAUAAAAGCAUCUGUGACUCCUAUAAUUUCACCACCAAACACAGCAUUAACUCCUCAUAAAUGAUAAAUCUAUUUGACAUAAAAGAAACAUUUACAUACACAGCUUUUUCUCUAUGAAUAAGGAAAGAAACAAGAAAACUGAAGCUGAUCUUAAAACAUACAUCAAUAUUCUGCAUCUUUGAAACAAGAUUCCAUUUUCCAGAGUCUCGUUUACCAAUCCAAGAAGUUACUAUAACAGAAAAAAGAAAAGCCGGAUUUUUUUUUCUUUCAAAGGUUGAGUGAAGCAAAGAAAGAAAGAAGUUUUUUUUGAGAAACGAUACUCUUCAACACGAGAAAACGAAGCAAUAUCCGGAAAAAGACAUCAAACAUCCGGAGAUUAGGAAAACAAAAAUUCUCUGCAAAGAAAUUCUACGUUAUAAGAACAUGGAUAUAAAUUAUGGCGGCGGAUGGUUUUCCAAUCAUGUCACAUUCAAUAAACACACAUUGAAGAAAUUAGAAAAAAAAAAGGAAAGGUAAAUUAGAAGAAAGCAAACCUGGGUAUGGGUAUUGGUGUGGUGGAAGAGAAAUGGACAGCAAAAAGGUGUGAAAGUGGGUUUUCCCGAUUCGACUGAGAUUGAGAUACGAUUAAGUGGAAAGUCGGCUGCUGAGAAAAAAAUUCGGUUGUUACAAUUUAGAUUACAAAAGCAUGUAACUUCAGGAAAACAAAAAUUCUCUGGAAAGAAAUUCUACGUUAUAAGAACUAGAACUAGAGAUUCAGGGAAAAAGAAAAACGAAAGCGAAUUUAGAAGAAAGUAAACCUCGGUCUGGGUAUUGGUGUGGUGGAAGAGAAAUGGACAGCAAAAAGGUGUGAAAAUGGUGGGUUUUACCGAUUCGACUGAGAUUGAGAUACGAAGGAAAAGAAACGACAGAAGGGAAAUCCUAGCAACAAAAAGAAAACAAACGUGAAAGCCAAGAUGGAGAAAGCGGGAAAAAAAUAGGGAAGUGAGUAAAGAGUGGAACUACAAAAAUAAAUUUAUUUUUUUAUUUUUAUUAUUCUUAUCCUCUUAUAAAAAAUAAAUUCUAAAACCAUUUAAUUAAUAUCCAAUUAUCAAAAACCCUCCAAAGGUUUAACAUAUAUUUUAAGGAGUUAAAAUUGUAAAUAAAAAAUACUUAAAAAGAGAAAGAAAAAUUCCACAUUGUUCACACCUAAACUCAAACUCUAAACCAAAGGUUAAGCUACCAAAGACCUAGCCACUAACGCAGAUGUUUCAUUUUAGUAUUAAAAUGCAAAAAUUAACUUAACAGUCCCACCUAACCGCUGAUCAAACCAACUAUCCUGAAUAAUUCUAACCAAAUUCCGGGGCGUUACAUAGGUCGUGUAACUCACUAACUUGCACCCUAAGAAAAUUAUCAGAUGAUACACGACCGUGUCGCUAGGUCAUAUAUUUCAAUCCUAAUCUCAUUGACUUAAUGUGCAAAAAUUUAGACUUAAAAAUUUGGUUUGGUUAAAAAAAAGCCCAUUUAAAAAUGGGUUUAGCCUCAAGGAAUCUUUUUUCGACCAAAACCUGACCCGACCUAAAUUUGCAAAAAAAAAUUAUUGUUACUUUGUCACUUUUUUGCUAUCAUUUCACUAUUAUAUUAUUAUGUAUUACGGUUUGGAUAUUGUAUUAGUCUUGUUUUAUUGUUAAUUUUGUUACUAUUUUAUUUUUAGAGGCACUUAUCUCAGUGCUAUUUAAGUAUAAAGACUUCUUUUUAAUUUACUUUCAAUUUGUUGAUAAACAUUGAUUUUAAUUUUUAAUAUGUUUGAUUUAUUAUAUUUUUAAAAUCUAUUUAUAUAUAUAUAAUAAUACGGGCGGAUCGAGCCAGGCUCAAGUUUUAACUUUUUUUAUCCAGACCAAGUUUGAACAAAAAUUUAGGCCUAUUUUUGGUAUCAGGUCGAGCUGGGCUGGGCUUAUAAAACAGGUCUGAAAUUUUGUUACAACCUGUCCCAUAAUCACCUCUAGUGCAGAUCAAGUCAAACUCGAAUUCUUUCAAACUUAUUUGAGUUAAAUUUGGGUAGAAAAGUAACGUUACGCUUUGAGUAAAGUCAAGUUCAGUCAAAUAACAUGCUUUAUUUUAUUUAAACUCGACCCACGAAUAAAUCUAAUGUUUCAAGAUUGGAGUGAAAUGGUUGAAUGUAGAGGUGAGCAAAAUUCGAUUCGACUCGAAAAACUCGAUAAAAAUUUUAAAUUUUGAGUUAAACAAUUCAAGUUAAUCGAGUUAUUCAUAUCAACUCGAAUAAAAAUAUCAAAUUUUUUGGUUUAACUCGAAUGUGAAUUAUACAAUUCGAGUUAUUCGAAAAUCAAACUAAGAAAAUCAAAAUUACGUCGUUUUGAUAAAUGUUUACAUUUUCUAAGCUAAAAGUCAAAACCAUUAAGUUAAAAGGCAAAACUAUUUCGUUUUGAUAAAUGUUUACCUAUUAAGUCAAAAGGCAAAAUCAUUAUAUUGUUUACGUAGUUAAAUGAUCCUGUACUUUGUCUACUAGUUAAAUAAUUGGUCCAUAUAAACACAACAUUGAGCAUAAAUAAUAGGAUUUGUUCACUCGACUGGACUUGACUCGAAAUUUUUUAGCUCGACUCGACUGAAUACUCACCUCUAGUUGAAUGAACUCUAAUAAAAUGCAAUAGAAGUUUAUGCCUAAUAAAAUUAAAUUUGUUAGUUUGGUAUCCUAUAGACUCCAAUUGAAAUUGCUUUUAAAAUAAAAUGUUUUAAAAUUGUUGAGGCACUUGUAAGAGCAACGACACCAAGUAUUUACAAUUAUGUUGAUAAGUGCCCAAGGUUUUAUAAUUUGUCGUAUUUGAAGUUAGUAAUUUUUUGAAACAAUAUAGUAGGGCCAUGAAUUAGUUGAUAUUAUGGACAUAUAUUAGUCCAUAUUUGAAGGUUGAUAUUAUGAAGCAACAAAUUUUUAAAGAUCAGAUUUAUUUAAAUCAAGCAAAUUGGAUCAACUGUUUCGUAGAGAUUGAUUUGAAUGGCUUCAAAAACAUAUCUUAGAGAUUUUUUAUUUAAAUCAACCAAAUAAUAUUUUUAUAACACUUAAUUAAAUCAAAUAAUUAAUCUAUAUGCAAUUAAAUUAAUAUGGGAAGUCACUAAAUAAAAAAAUGGAUAACGGCUACUUACCCACAUGAAGUUGCGAGAAGACCAUUGCAAUUGAGUUCCAGCACACUAGGCUGAGCUAAUUCCCAGAUUGCUACAACUAAGUGGAUAUAAAGCUUUUAAUAAAAUCCUCCAAAUUGUUUCUAAAAAAUUUAAUGGUUUUCUAAUUGUGACAUGGGAAGCAACACCAGAACAUGGGGAGUUCAUCUCACAUUUAUGUUUCUAUUCUAUUAUAAGGUUUUAAUGAGUGUGAUUAUGGGUAAGAAAUGGUAGUUGCCUCCGGCUAUUAGACUCAUUGAGCUAAAUACUACAUAUGAUGGUGAUGGGUGGGGCUAGAUUAGUUGGAGUCUGGGUUGAUUUUAUACGUGGUAUUAAUAUUAUAUAUAAUUAUUUAAAAAUAUUUUGGUCCUAUAAACCUUAAAUUAUACUAAAUUUGUCCAUAUCAAUGUAUAAUUAACACAAAUUUGCUGCAAGGCUUUUGCCAUGGUGGAUCACUUGAAUACUUCACAGCAGAUGACAACCAGCUUAUUGGGCCAAUCCCUCAAGGGUUGAAAAUGUGCACUAGCAUGAAGAAAGUUCGCCUUGAAAAAAACUAACUCAGAAGGAAUACAUCUAAAUAUUUAAGUGUUUACCUGAACCUAAAAUUCAUUGACUUGACAAUGAAUUUCAAGGUGUAGUGUCUUCCUAUUGGGGGUUGUGCAAAAGUUGACAUCUUUGUUGUAUCUUGGUUUGAAUAGGAAUAAACUUUCUGGUAAUGUGCCCUUGGUACUAGGACUUAUGUCAAAGCUUUUGUAUCUAGACUUGUCUGCAAACCAAUUGAGCAAGCCCAUCCCUGAAACUUUCAGGUUAAAAUAAUCGUCUAAAUAUCUCUAUUAGAAUUUGUAUUUUAUGAAAGUAUCGGAUUCAAUCCCAAUUUAGUAUUGGGUUGUGUUUAUAAAUUAUACUAGAUUAGGUUUAUAUUGGGUAGGACUUAGGAGUGCUAGGGUGAGCCGCUAGUUAGGGAUUAGGUGGGCAGUAGGCUAAGCCUAAUACAUAUAAUAUAUGAUAUUAGUUAUUAAAUUUGAUUAAUUUGGUUAAUUACUCGCUUUCAAGCCAAAUUAACCGAUAACUGAGUUUCAAAAAAAUUAUUAACCAAUCUCUGAUCGAAUUAGAUUAGUUAACUGACCAAUUAAUUUUAACCGAAAUUUAAACACCCCUAAAUCUGUUGCUCUAAUAUGAUGAUCUUUAAAUUAUUUUUUUUAUAAAUGUAUUUGUUUCAAUAUAAUAUAUAUUUAAAAUGUAUAAAAAAAAGUAAGAAUUUGUCAAAUUAAUAUAUACCUUAGGAACCCAAAUCAACUAGUUAGUAGGAAUCAAACAAAUUAUUGUUUUUAAGAAAUAACCAUGGAUGUUAUAUUUUGUAUAUAUGUUAUCACUCAAUAUUUAUAUAUAUAUUUAAAUUCAAAUCCAAAAUUUAAAACUAAGUUCCCAAACACUGCAUAAAUUGGAUAGUAAAAUACUUCCAAAUAAAACAUUCAUUAUUAUUUCUAAAUUCAUCGAUUUGUUAAAUGCUUAUUUAGUAGAAAUUUCAAAUUUCUUAAAUUAUUAAGGGCUAAUAUGCAAAAUUACGUGAAAUUUAAAAUUUACCACUAUACUUCACUCUCAUCAAUAUUUUAAAAUUUUAAAAUUUUUAUAGGGCUAAAAUAAUAAUUUCCCACUUUAGGGGUCCAGUCGCCUGCCAACCCUCUGAAUUCGCCUAUGACCAUGAAGGUUUAAUUUAAUUUUCAAAUACAAUUAUUUAACUUAAAAAAUAAAAAAUCAAACCACGUAAUGGGUGUUAUUUGAAGGGCAAAAGAGAUGGCCUUAAGAGAACUGAAUAAAGUGCAAAAUCACAAUACUAUAUAGUUUUAACUUUGUCAAUAUUUCAGUAUCUAAAAAGAAAGCACCCAAUUACAUCAACAACUGCAAAGUUUUAACCAAACUAAUUGACCGCAUCUUCAAAGUCUCUCGUCACCAUCAACAUGGGUCUUGACUCAACUCCAUGAACCAACACGUUCCAGCUGAGGCCUAAAAGGGAGGGGAAACAACCCGAGAUUAGGAAUAUAAUUCUAUAUCAUUGCAGCGAAAAUUGAAGGCACAAAAACCAAAAAAGGCCCCUACACAUUUAUAAAGAAAUCAAUUGAACCCCUAGACGUUAGAGUUAUAAUAAAUUAAGCCCAUUUAUCAUUAAAGUUAUCCAUCAAAGUUACAAAGCGAAAAGUGCCAUUUUUUUGCUGGUUGUUUUCAGCACAUGGCAAAAACUAGUAUUUAAUGUAUAAAACAUUAAAAAAUCAACAAACAUUUAUAAAAAGUCAUAGAAAAUCGUAUAAUAUUUUUUUUAUAAUUUUCUAUUGACUUUAUGUAUAAAAUGCAUGUUUUUACCACAUGGCCAUGUGGCAAAAACAGCCUGAAGAAAACCGGUACCCUUGGCUUUGUAACAUUGACCGUCAACUUUAACGGUCAAAGGGCUUGAUUGAUUGAUUGUAAUUCAAAUGUUCAAGGGCUCAAUUGAGUGAAAACAAAAAUGUUCAGGGAGCUUUCCGCUUUCAGACUCUCUUUUAGUCCAGUUCUUGAUUUGGCUUUUCUUUGUCUUUUUUCAAAUUUACCUGUCGAAACCACUUUUUUGAAAUUUGAAAAAUGGGUAUCGAUUUUGAAAAUUUAAAUGGAGUCGCCACAGAUCUUUAAUGAGGUGUGAUCAGAUCACCUUGAAAACGAUUUUAGGUCUACGAAUUUUGAGAAAAUAGGUUUGGGAGUCGGUUACGCACGAGGAAGGGUUAGCAUCCUCGUGACGCCCAAAAUUAGUACCGAAUCGAUUGUUUAAUGUCUUAAUGUCGAAAAUUUGAAAAGAUUUUAAAAUACGAUCCUUUGAAAAGAAAAUUUAAAUAAAAUGAAUUGGAUGAUAAGGCGCACUCAUUUCAGAAAUAAAUUGCCACACUCAGUGAGUUAGGGUGCAACAAUUCAAUCUUCGAAAUUAGAUUUGUUCCUUUUUUAAGAAAAUCAUGUGUUUUAAGAAGGAAAUUUGAUUGUUUAAGUCAAUCGAGAAAUCAGAAUCCAGUAAGUUAGGGUUCAAUUUCUCGAAAUUCUUAAACAUCGAACAUUGCCUUUAUUUUGAAAUCGAGAUAACAAAAUGUUGUAUCCAGUAAGUUAGGAUCAAACAUUUUGAAAUCUUAUGAACUUUAUUUUAAUGCUUAUAUAGUUUUAAUAAAAUGAACAUUUGAUUAUCCAAAUUCAUCAAGAAGAAUUGAAGCCCAGUAAGUUAGGGCACGAUUCCCUCGAGAACUUAUGAACAUCAAGCUUUUUUUUUUUAGGAAUUAUGAAAUAAAAUGAGUAUAAUGUUUUAAUAAAAUACAAUUCUUACAAAUGUAACAUGAUUGAAUGGUGAUGUACAACGUAAAAGAUAAUAUAUAAUCCAAACACAUACUAAAGAAUAAUGAAUAAAUAAUAAAUUAAUACUGACAAACAUAACAACAAUAAUCUCAAUUGUUCAUUAUGCCAAUAUCAAUAUCAACAUUCAAAAGCUAAUAAAAACAAGCUGAUUAAUGCAAAUGCAAACCAAAUGUACAAGUUUUGAAAUAACUAAAGAAAUGGCAUGAAAGAAAUGGAAAUUGUAAGUUAAUAAAGUAUAUGUACAAAAUUUUACAAUAAAUAAUAUACAAGAAAUUGAAAUAACUAAAAUUGAGUUUAAAAUAAAUACUAUGUGAGACAAUGAUAUUUAAACAAAUUUUGAAAUAAAUGUUGCAUAUAAGGAAAAUCAAAAUAAGUAUUAUACAAAAUAAUAUACAUAUUAAUUUAAAUAAGUAAACAUAUGAAAUAAGCGGUUUAAUAUGAAUAAUAAUAUAUAAUAGUGUAUACAAAAAAAGGUUAAGGUAAAUACAGCAUAUAAUAAAAUAGGGUCUAAAGUAUAAAUUAUGUACCUAUAAAAUAAAUUUUCCAAAUAAUAAAUAUAAAAACAAUAUAAAAUAUCAAGAAUAAUAGUAAUAAAAAUCAUGUAAUUAAAGAGAAUAUAAAAACAAUGAUGAUAAUAGAAAAUAUUAAAUUAAGAUUAAACAAAAAUUUAAAAGGACGAAUUUAAAAUCUAUUUAGAAUACAAGGACUAAUAUAGCAAUUAAAUGCAAAAUCAAAACAUUUAGAUUCAAUUGGUAGAACGGCAUCGUUCAUUCGUGGAUCCAAUUGGAAUCAGAAUCAAAUAUAAGGUAACAAUUAAAAAAUUGAAGAAAAACUAAAUUGAAAUGGAAACAAAAUGUGGAGGGAUUCAGUGCACAAAUAAACCAUUGUACGAAACGCGCGGGUCCUGAGAAAACGAGUCAGGUCACUUGGGUCACUGGUCGGUACGGCGCCGUUUUGAGGCCACUAAAUCUGGCCCCAAAUGGUGCCGUUUUGAACACUUAAAAAUACCUCCAGAAACCCUAAAAACCUAAGAAUCAGAGGACCUCCCUUCCUAUUCUCAGCCGCAAGUAAGAAACCCUCUCCUCAUCUCCACCGUUUUGAACUUUACCGAUUUAUUCUCAAAAUCUCUGCCCAAACUUCGAUCACGGCGAAGCGAGCAGAGAUCCAACGGUGUGCUUCGAGAAGGUAAAACCUCCCUCUCCUUCCUCUUUUAUUUUUCGCCAAGAAGAGAGAAAAAGGAAAAAAAAACUAAAAGAAAUCGAAAAAAGAUCCAGAGAAAAUCAGGAAAUCGCCUUUCCUUAUUUAGUUUUUCUGUAUUUCGUAAUGAUUUCUCCUUUUUUAUUCAACAAGAAAUAAAUUUCAAAACAAAGAAGCAGAAACAAUGAACAAUCCAAAGGAGAAAAUCAAAUCUCUGAUCCUUUUGAAACUUUUUCUGGUUUUUGUUUGUAUUCAAUAUCUGUGUAUGUGUAAAAAAAAGGAACCAAAAACCCUUUUACAAAUUCGAAAACAGCUUUAUAUAGUCGAAAAUAAAAUAGAAAUUUAGAGGAAAUUCUUUUCUAAAUUUCUGCUAUUUUUCUCUACUAUCCUCGCGUAUUCUGCUACUGUUGCCCCUUUGUUCUGUUUUUCUUGUUUUGUGCUGCGUUGUCUAUUCUUGUUUGUUGCAGGUAUGGCCUGGAGUAGAAGAAGCACGUAUGCGCGGAGGCGUAGCACGCGCGGGAGGGGGCCCUAAUUGCUGCGGCGCUGGAUGUUGCGUUGCUACCCUACGGUUUCUGAUUCUCUUUGGUUUUGGGCCGUAUGAUUGUUAGGCUAGGUGUAAUUGGGCUAGCUGUAGUUUGGGUUUGUACUGGGCCAUUUGUAAAUGGGCUUGGCUUGUAUUUUGGGUAUGAGUUUGCAUUGGAUUGUUUUUAUUGGACUUUUAAUUUUAUUCUAUACAUAUGC
This 52171-nucleotide long non-coding RNA is filed under the name Gossypium barbadense (sea-island cotton). RNAcentral describes it as "long non-coding RNA (GBAR_LNC016868)". Lineage: Eukaryota; Viridiplantae; Streptophyta; Magnoliopsida; Malvales; Malvaceae. The record is from RNAcentral.